Molecule: long non-coding RNA, 72258 nt
Filed under: Daucus carota (carrot)
Lineage: Eukaryota; Viridiplantae; Streptophyta; Magnoliopsida; Apiales; Apiaceae
Description: long non-coding RNA (DCAR_LNC000857)
Source: RNAcentral
UAAUUUGUCUGGGCCUGUACCAAGAUCCAUUGGGCACCUCGUUCAACUUACUCACUUGGGCCUCUCUCAAAAUAAUCUCAAUGGCCCAGUUCCAACAUUUUUUACAGACGUUACAGACUUAAGAUAUAUCUCCCUUGCGCGUAACAAUUUCACUGGAUCUCUACCUCGUUGGUUGUUUCACCAUCCAUCGUUAGAGACCUUGUAUCUGCAUAGUAAUGCAUUCACGGGUCCACUACAUGAAUUUGAUUCUUCUCGAUCACGGCUGCAAUCUUUUUCUUGUUCCAGCAAUUUACUCAAUGGAUCCAUUCCACAUUCAUUUUCUCAACUUGUCAAUCUCACUAAACUAGAUUUGUCAUCAAACAAUUUCAGCGGGGUUUUGGAUUUGGAAAUGUUUUCAGACCUCGAAUCUCUAGAACGUCUUAGACUUUCUCGUAACAGUCUUUCAGUGACAAGUACAAGUAUGGCCACUCUCCCUCCUACGCUUAACUACUUGGACUUGUCAUCUUGUAACAUGAAAGAGUUUCCUCAUUUUUCAAGAGAUGCAAACAUCUCCCUGGUGUUUGUAGACCUAUCAAACAAUAAAAUUGAAGGGGAAAUUCCACACUGGAUUGGGUUGCUGGGGAUGUCCUAUCUGAAUCUUUCUCACAACAAACUAAUAGGCGGUCUUGAGCAACUGCCUUGGAGUCAUAUUGAAUAUCUUGAUCUCCAAUACAAUAAGCUGAAUGGAUCGUUGCCCACCUUGAUGUGUAAUUCCAGCUCUCUUUAUAUUCUAAAUCUGUCUCACAACAAGUUGAGUGGUGUACUACCCAUUUGUCAUACAAAUUUGACUUGGCUUUCCGUGUUGGAUCUGCGGAGGAAUAAAAUUCAAGGAAACAUUCCAGCAACCCUGUCAAAUUUCCAUAAUCUGGAAACCAUUAAUUUGAAUGGAAACCAAUUAGAAGGAAGCAUUCCUUCUUCUUUUGCUGGAUUUGAUUCUUUAGCCGUUCUUGAUCUUGGAAAUAAUCAGAUAAAUGAUACAUUCCCCCAGUGUUUGGAAGCUCUUCCAAAUCUUCAAGUUCUUGUUCUCAAAUCAAAUAAGUUUUAUGGUCUUAUAAACACGAGUUCUCAGGUUGUACACCCAUUUCCUAGCUUGAGAAUCAUUGAUCUUUCGUACAACAAGUUUUCAGGUGCACUGCCAGAAAAAUAUUUCAGAAACUUCAAGGCUAUGAUGAAUGGUGAAGUGAAUAAGGUAAAUCGUAGUUAUAUGGAGCAGGAUCUUUACAGUGAUUCCACAGCUCUAGUGAUUAAAGGCAUGGAGAUUGAUUUAGAAAGAAUUUUGACUGUGUUCACAACUAUUGAUGUAUCAAAGAACAAUUUUGAUGGGGAGAUAGCUGAAUACUUUGGAAAUCUUGUAUCACUCAGAUUUCUUAAUCUUUCUCACAAUUAUCUCACAGGCCACAUACCACGCUCGAUUGGAAAAUUGACUGUGCUGGAGUCACUAGACCUCUCAUCCAACCAACUUCAAGGAGAAAUUCCUCCGCAGCUCACUAGUGUAUAUUCACUUGCAGUUCUCAAUCUGUCUUGCAACCAACUUAGAGGACGUAUUCCAGAAGGGUCGCAAUUCAAUACAUUUGAAAUCUACAGCUACGUCGGGAACUUUGGGCUGUGCGGAAAACCCUUGUCAAAAAAGUGUGAAAAUUAUGUCAGGGCACAAGAAGAAGACGAAGAAGAUGAGGAUGAUGAUUACUUUUUCAGUGGAUUUACUUGGGAAGCGGUGGUGAUUGGAUAUGGGUGUGGAGUGGUGCCUGCAUUUAUCACUGGCUACCUGAUGUUGUUGGCACGGAAACCAAAAUGGUUUGCUGGAAUCAUUGGCAGGGAACUGGGCCUGAAGAUCAGGAGGAUGGAGAUUAGAAGGCGAUAACUAAAGGUUUGCUGUAAUCUAUAUCCCAAUCUGUAGGUCUUGAAUAUUCAGUAAUAAUAUAUAUAGUAAUAUCUGCUAUCAUAUAAUUCUAUAUUUGCAGAUUGGAGAGGCAUGAACAUUUUGGCAUGCAAGUUGAUGGGACAAGCAGGAUUCAGAUGCACUGGAAUCAACCACUACUUCAGCUGUUUAAUUUGCAUCUUUUCUAAGUUACUCUGCACAUAUUCUAAGUUCCAUAUACAAGUUCUGUAAUGUUUAGUUAUUCUGCACAAACUCUAAGUUAGUUUCAACCACUGGGGUGUAAGCAGCCAAGUUAAUAAACCAGCAGUUUCUGCAGCUUUCACAACGUUGCUUCAUAUUAUUUUCCCCCUUAUUAGAUGAGCAAUAUAUUUGUGGAAUGGAUGUACCUGAAUUUGGUAUCCGAAGCUUAGUUAUAGAAAUUGUAGAUCAGCUAGUUUGCAACUUAGUGAGAAUGCUUUCCAUUGGACUUGAUUUACUCGUAGAGAAGCAGCACGCAAUGUUAAGGAAGGCCUGAUACAUAAUGUAUUCGAGGAAGUUUUGGAUUUCUUUUUAUUGAGAGUUUUUGCAAAACGUGGUUAAGAAAUUUGAGUUUUAAAAUUAGCUGUAAAAAGUAAUAGGUCAAUUGUAUUAGAUAUUUCAUGCAUUUGAGUUUUAAAAUUAGCUGUAAAAAAUAAUGGGUCAACGGCAACAGAAAUGAAUUGGUUUGGUUUCACCCGUAAGAGUUCUGCACUUCACACUCUAAAUUCCAGAAUUAAUAAAUUCAAGUCAUCUUUUAUGUCUUAGAGCAUCUCCAACCAUACAAAUUUCUUAACUAAAAAAUGAGGCAUUACAAAUAUAGAAAAUUAGUCAACUUGUUGAAAAAAUCAUAAAACCUGUAGUCUAUAAUUUUAGCCAACCUCUUACUAUAUUUGUCGAAUCUUUACAGAUCUACAAAUUUCUUACACGUUAUUUAUUACCAUAUUAAACUGAUAUAUUCUAUUUUAACAAACUAAAAUAUCAUUGAAGUACAAUGUCUUACAACUUCUGUAUAUAAUGUCUUACAAGUUCAAUUUAACCAACGAUUAUAGCCUACGAUGUUGCAAUGCUCUUAAGCCACUCUUUAUUAUUUUUGAUUCCAUAAUAAAUAAGUUUAAACUUUAAACUUUUUAUAUUUAAUAAAUUUAUAUAAUUAAUAAUAAUUUAAUUAUUAUUUUUUUAUUUGUAUUAAGUUUAAUUUAUAGAUACCUUUAUAUCAAAAAUACUAAAAUCAAUCAAAAUUUUAAUAUUUUGAUUCAGUAACUGGAAUAUAAAUAUAUCUAACUUUUGAAAUGAUAAAUAAAUAGUUUAUGAUUAAUAAAAAACUAGUAAGUAACUUGCACGAUUUCUCUUAUUUACAGUAAUAAAUCUCUUAUUAGCACUUUCAACUAAAUAUUUCUCCCAAACACUUAUAAUUUAUGUCCAAUUUUCAUAUUAUUUCCUUUAGAAAGACUGUUGUAUUAUUUUUAAUUUUAGUAAUUAGAUUAUUUUUAUAUAUAUAAAUUCCAAAUUUAAAAAACUUAAUAUUUUUGUCACGCUGCUUCUUAUAAUUUGUAAUACAAAUUAUUUCUAGAUAAAAUUAAUAUAUUAAUAAAAAUAGUGUAAACUCCAUAUAAUACAUUGAAAUUAAAUAAAUAUGCUCUGUACUUUUUUUUCACAUGCAAAAAACUGCACUGUUUCGGUUUAAGCAAAGCGUGAUAAUCAGGACUCCUAGCUGGAAUGGCGAGUAUUAUUCCUACGAAGAAGAUGAUGUUCAUGAUAUCCCUUCACCCCCAAAGACAAAGAAUUGGAGCAUGAAUUCUGAUUACUGCAUGUGGGAUGGAGUUAGCUGCGACGAGAAUACAGGGGACCUAAGGGGACUGGAUUUAAGCUGCAGUCAUCUGGUGCAUUGGAAUGAAAUUAUAGAACUUCUUCAGAGCCUGAUGCUCUCGAGGAUGCACUAAUGAACAAGCCUAAUGAUGAUCAUGAGUCAUAACUCCGUCCUAGAAUAAAGUAUCAUGAAACAUAUUUAGUAUUACAUUUUGUAUUAUUGGAAACUUGAUUUGAAACCGAAAUAGUUUGGUGGAAUCAUUGCCAGGGUAUUGGGUCCGAAGAUCGAGGAUGGAGAAUAAAUUGAUUUUGUUCAAAUAUUUAACACAACCCCAUCAUCAUUAUCCAUCACAAGCCCGGUCCAGUGUAGAGUUCUGGCAACUCCAUUUCUUGACACUUCUGUUGAAGUUGGCCUGUCUGGCAGACAAGAGGCCCUGUUUUAGAGGUGAUAUAUGCGCACAGGUCAAAAAUAUACUCCCUCCGUCCCACCAGAUUCUUUACAGUUUCCUUAUUUGGUCGUCCCACCCAUUUCUUUACAUUACAAAACUUUCUUAAAAUAGUUAAUGGGUCCCAACACUUUUCCACUUUUUCUCCCUUUUCACACUACUUUUACUCCACUAUCUCUUUAUUAUAUAUUAAAAAUCAGUGGGUCCCACCACUUCACCCACUUUUCUUUCUUUUUCCCACUACUUUAUACAUAUUUCUUAACCUCCGUGUCCAAACCCAAUGUAAAGAAUUGGGUGGGACGGAGGGAGUAUAUUUCUUCCAAUAGAUUACAUCUCUUUUCUUCAAAAUUUAUUGUAGUUUCAAAAUGUAGCAUUUGAGAACUCAUUCUCUUCACUUCUUAAAUACUUGGUCUUGGUCAAUACAAACACGAUUAAGACCGGUGUCAAUAUCACUCAUUAUUUUUCCACUCCUUUGAAUGGCAUUCUACAAUCCACAUAUCAGUACUCAGACUUUCACCAGUGAACCAUUAAUGCAUAGAUAAUUGAAGAAAGAAACUUCAACAUAUUUGCAUAUCUUUAUCCAUCUUUUUUUUCUAGUCAUCAACAGGCACAAGCUGUUAAUUUUUAUAUGUUCUUAAUUGGUAUAAGCAUUUAAGGUGCGUGUUGAUAUUUCUCACUAAUCUUCUUCUGCUCUAAGUGACAUAUUAUUACAAUCCACAAAUUAGUAGACAGACUAAUAUGGUUAGUUGAGACCAUCAAUCUGGAGAACAGACUAAUACAUGUGUAGUAAUCUGAUCAUCAUUUAUUUGAUUACAAUAGAAAUUCGGCUUUGUUUAGUUCCAUCCUCGGGCUCUUCAUUUCUAAACAUAUUUGCUGAUACUUUUUAUUGUACAAUUUAGAAUAUUCCAUAAAAUUUUAAAUUCGGUGCUAGAUGAUUUUAUGUCCUGUUUUCAUUCCAUUCAUGAACUAAUGAAAAUUUUGAAAUUGGGUCAUAUUAGGCAGUGAUGCCACCUUUCUGGACCUGCAUUUCAUGGCCACAAACUCCUAUUGUGCCAAAAAAUUCCAGCUGUUUGGUGAGAUUUUUCUACGUGCUCUUUUGUUCGGACUUGUUUGCUGAAUCCCACAAUAGACAAUAUUGAUGUUAACAACUCUUGCGUCAGUUACUAGACUUGUCAGUAGCCCAUUCUUUACGGCAGACGUGGAAUUUACUUGAAGAAAUGAAGGUGUAAGAAAGUUGAGAACAUUUUGUUGAUUAUUUCCUUCCCCAGAAACUGCACUCCAGCAUCAAAGUACCUUUCAAAGACUCCAGCAUCAUUUCUUGAUUAUCAAAGUCUUCGUCUUUGUCAUCUCCUGCUCUGAAAGUGCUUCUAUUGCAGACCACAUAUUAGUAGACAGACUACUAAAAUUCAUCUAAAAUGACCUCUCUGCGUGGGCUCUUUUGAACAAUCAGGGUUGGACAUGAUUCUACACGCAUCAGAGAAAAACUAUCAGCUGGCUAAAAACCUCUCUGCAUCAACUCUAUUGAGAAAAGAAACUAUGGCUCAUACAGUUUAAGUUGAUACCAAAUCGUAAAUGAGAAUACUUGCAGUUUUAAAUUACUGCACGCUAUUUUUUCAACGAAAAUAUGUGCAGUUUUAACAUAGUCUAAUUAUUUUCUUGAUGACGGCUCUGCAAAUUGUGAUAGUUGAAAAUCUUUUUAUCGUCUUUGACAAGCAUCAAGGAAAUGCAGGAAGGUUAUUUAUCAGCUGAUUAAUCUCUUUCUUUGUCUCUGAAAAUCCUUACAUUAGAUCUGUUGAGAGUCUUUACUGGGGAUAAUCUUCUGUCACUGGAUCUGUUGAGGUAACUUUGGGACAAAGUACUGUCUCUAUUACAUGGAAGUUUGAACUGUUUCAUAUUUUUUAGACAACUAAAUGCACUUACAAACUCGACUUGUGUUUGAAAAGGUUCAGACACUCGAACCUUGAAAAGAACGAGAGAGAUAUUAUUGGAUCAAGAGAUCUUUAGUCAGGUCUAGUGCUUUCUUAAAUUAAUUUCCUAAAGUUUCAGUUAAGAUGUGAACCAAAGCUCUUGGUGGUGGUUCUCAUUGCUCUCUUUGUUCCAAAUUAAACUUAAAAAUUGUUGUGUGAUCCCAAGUUGCGGGUUUACUGAUGAGAAUAAUAAAUAUUCAACUGAUGAUACCGAAGCAGCAGCAUACUGCAAUUUCUUGUAAUAAUCAAAAGUGCGAGUACUUAUAAAGAAACUUAUACCUAUAAAGCUGUAGAAACCAAUGGUAAGCAUAACUGCAUAUAAGAUACAAAACUAAAUUUAAUACAAGACUUGUUCUAAGCAUUGGAAAAUAUAAUUCAUCCUGGUCUUCAUCUUCUACUGCUCCAAAUAUGCUUUUAUUGCAGCCAAUGUAUUAGUGAAAAGAAUUAAAUUUAAAUUAAUUGUAGACCGCAAAUAUAAGAUUAUGAGAGUUUCUACAACCCACAAAUUAGUAGACAGACUAAUAUGGUUAGUUGAGACCAUCAAUCCGGAGAAACUGUUUCUAAAAUGACCCAUCUGUAUGAAUUAAUGAAGAAAGAAACUUAUACCUACAAUGUAAAGGAAAUGGUCACGAGUAUAUUGCAUUUUUAAUCCAAAUUGUAUAUGAUUCUAUCUGUGCUACUGAUAGUAAAUAAUAAAUCUACCACGGGCCUUGUAGUUAAUCAAGGUAUUUAACUCUACCUUUCUACAUUGUUGAAUAGUUUGAAUAAAAUAAUUGUAAUAAAAUUUUUUCUGGUGCUGUGUGAGUUUAUCAAAGCUAAUCUCGGUGAGAAAUUAACUAAAGCCCUUGGAAUUAGUAAAUAAAAACUCUGGGGAGUGAAAUUAAAAGUCUGAGUACAAGGCAAUGAGCAGGAAACAGCAUAAGGAGUUUACAACUUGAAGUUUCUAUUCUCCUCCGGUCUUUUUGUGAAAAUCAAGUGGCCAUUGAUACAGUUAAAAAUGGCAGGACUACACAUAAUAAAUCACACAGUCGCUUUAUGAGAGAGGAAAAAUGUCAGGACUGCAAUGCAUUUCUAGCCCAUUUUGUACAGCAGCUCAAACGUUUAAAAAACUUCAUUAAUUAUUUUCUUUUAUUGAAACCCACACUCAUCCAUCAAAGUAGCUCUCAAAGACUAAUUUCCAUCACCUUUUGAUUCUCAAAGUCUUCUUCUUCGUCUUCUACUGCUCCAAAAGUUCUUACAUUGCACGCCACAUAUUAGUAGACAUAUACUUGAUCUUGAUGUACAAUGUUAUGUUAUGAUGCUAAUAACCCUCUGCAGGGGUUAUUAAAGAAAGCAACUUAUAGUUUAAGUUGCUGAACAUUUGUGUGUGCCAAAUUUAAUUUCACACAUCAUUACUAGAUUUACACAUGGUAUUAGACAUCAGUACUAGUAUAAGAUGUUAAUCAAGUUUUUGAAUUUCUUUUAUUUCAGAUAACAAGUUUAAUUUUUUUUUUGUGGAAUUAAUUAUUUAUAUCACGCAUUUGAGCUUUAAAAUUAGCUCUAAAUAAAAGUUGAUUUUCGCUCAAAGAAACAAUGAUGUAUAAGAAGAUUUUCAGAACUGAAUUAUUUCUUUCAUUUUUACAAGUUCCAUUCAAGAACCGAAAGUAGCUCACAAAGACUCACUACAUCAUCUUUCAAUUCUCAUAGUCUUGGUCUUUGUCUUCUGCUGCUCAAAAAUUCUAUUACAGCCCACAUAUCAGUAUCAUAAACCUAAUUAUGAAUAGUAUUUAACACUAAACACAAUUGAAGAUUUGUCUCACAGACUUACUUCCAUCACCUUAUGGUUCUCAAAGUCUUCGUCUUCUAAUGCUCCAAAAGUUCUAUUAGUGCAGGCCACAUAUUAGUAAACAGACUACAAUUCAUCCAAAAUGACCCCUCGUAUUGGACACUUUGAACACCUCUGUCUGUAUAUGCAUUGGAGAAGAAUUAUCAGCUAGUUAAAAUAAGGGAAAUUCUUCAUGGUACACUCAUAAAAUUGGCUUUUCUCAAUGGUACCAUCCCAUUUUUGACUGGUACCAGUGGUACCCUCGUACUUUGAAUCUACUCUCUAUGGUACACUCGUGUACUUUUGAUCUAAAAUUGGAUGUAAAAGUUGUUUAGAGACGGGUAUUUUGUCUAAGUUUGUAUUUAAUCAUCAGGUAUUUGGUCUUUUAGUCAGACUGUGGCUCAUACAGUUUGAAGUUGAUAUCAAAUCUUAGAUGAGAGUGUUUGCAGUUUUAUAUUACUGAACAUUUUUUCUUGAAUUCGAUAUCGAAUUUUAAACGAAAAUAUGUGCAGUUUUAAUUUGAAAGUUAUGCAAAUUACAUUAAUAAUAUCAUCUAUUUUGAGUCUCUUGGUCUUCGGUCUUCUAUUGCAGCAUAUCAUAUACUUCUCAAAUGAUUGAAAAUGAACUCUCUCCAAAAGACAAGGGGGUCUAUCGAAGUAGACCUGCAAUUGAUUUUACUUGAAGAAACAAUAAUACUCCAGUUCACUUCUUAAAGUUUUGGUCGUCUUUUAUCUCUCAAAGUCUUGAUCUUUGUCGUUUACAUCUCAAACAAUUUUCCAUCGUAUUGAACACUUCACACAAUUCCAUCGUAUUGAACACUUCACACAAUUCCAUGCUAUCGUAUCAAACACUUCACACAAUUCCAUAAAAUUGAAGAUUUUUGACGAGAUGUUUUAACUAUGAGUUCUUCAAAUUAUUGCUUGUAAGGCCCGCGACAUUUUAGAGAGUCACCAAAGCUUUGGCCUGUGGAUUAAGUUGAUGAAAUCUAAUGCAUCGGAAUCAAUGACAACACUAUUUUAGGGGCUUGAUGCUCUUAAUAUUAUUCAUUCCGCUCAUAAAUUUCAAGUGGAGAGUGGAGAAGAAAGAGCAUCGUGAUUGUCACGGUACCCUUACUUAAAAUUUGUUCGAUUAGGUUUUUUUACGUAGUUUGCGCUUGGUCAUCUAGGUAGGCCUUCAUUAUAUUAACCCACUCGCAUGUCUUCAGCCACUCUUGUAAUUUCAUUAGGGCUGUCAAAAAAGUCCGAAAAAUCCGAUAUCCGUCCGAAAAAUCCGCAUUCGUAUCCGAGAUAAAGCGGAUAUUAUCCGUAUCCGAGACAAAGCGGAUAUUAUCCGCAUCCGAAUCCGACAAUUCCGGAUACGGAUACAGGCAUAUUUGUAUCCGAUAAUAUCCGAAUCCGAAAUUAAAUAUAUAUAUGAUAUUAAAUAUUAUAUAUGUAUAUUAUUAGUAUUAUUCAAUAACUAUAUAAUGUGUGUAUUUAUAUAUGUAUACAUAAAAUAAUAUAUUUAUAUAAAUUUUGUAUAAUUUUAAAAUAUUAUAGACAUAUAUCAUAAUUUUAUUUGAGUUUGAUAUUCUAAAGAUAACAAAUUUAUAUUGAAAGAUAAAUAAGAAUUAAUUUUUGAAUUAAUAUAAACUUUAUUUAAUGAUUUUAAUUUUUUUACUCAGUUUUUAAAAAUUAAACUUUAAUUUUUACUAUUUUUUAUGAUUUUUUAGAAAUUUUAAUAAAAAAAUAAAAUUUCUGAUUAAAAAUCAGAUUCGGAUCCGGAUAUUAUCCGAAUCUGGAUAAUAUCCAUCGGAUCCGGAUUCGGAUAUCAUCCUUUAAAAUAUUUCGGAUUCGGAUCCGGAUACGGAUAUGGAUUUUCGGAUUCGGAUCCGGAUACAGGCAGAUCCGUAUCCGAAUUAUCCGUUUGACACCCCUAAAUUUCAUAUUAAACAAAUUUAAAUUUCUUACAUAAAUUUGUAAAAAUAAUAAAUUUUUUCUUAUUUAUGAUAUUAAUAAAUCUCUUACUCUCUUAUUACUGUAUUCAACUAAUUAUUUUUUCCUAACAGUUAUAAAUGUAUCACAUCAGUUAUGAAAUUUAAAACAAAUAUGUCCAAUUUUUUCGAGAAAGAUGGUUGUAUAAUUUUUAAUUUAAAAUUUUAAUUAUUUUUAUUUUCAAUAUAAUUUACAACUAAAUUUUUUUUAUUAUAAUUUCACUGCUUCAUAUUUGUAAUAAAAUUAAAUAUAUCAUAAAUACACUUUUUUCUAUAUAUAUGCUAACCUCUAGAGAUGUUAAAGAUCAUCCCAAACAAAAUUUGAAAGCGAAAAUGAAAAUGAAAAAUUCCGUACUCUGUUUUUUCACCAUCAGUGUGAUGCUCAUCUUCUUGCAGUUGCAGCACCACCUGGUGGCUUCUUCAUUGAGCCCCAGCUUGCAGAAACUUGCGUUGUUCGACUUUAAACAAACCUUUUCAAUCAGUAAUGAUCCUAAUAGCUGGAUAUGCUCCUAUUAUUCCGUCGAAGACGAAGAGUUUUACGAAAUUCCUUCUCGGCCAAAGACAAAGAAUUGGAGCAUGAGUUCUGAUCACUGCACAUGGGAUGGAGUUAGCUGCGACGACAAGACAGGGGAUGUUAUCGGACUGGAUUUAACUUGCAGUCAGCUGCAAGGAGCCAUUCUUCCUAACAACACUCUCUUCCAGCUCUCUCAUCUCCGCUUCCUCAAUCUUUCUCAAAACGACUUUUCCCAUUCCAACCAGUUCCCUCAGGAAUUUGGUUUCUUUGCAAAAGGUUUGAAGCAUCUCAACCUCUCUUAUACUGGAUUAUCAGGGAGAGUUCCCUUGGGAAUCUCUCAUUUGCAGAAACUGGUCUCACUUGAUCUCAGUUACAACUCUGAAGCUGAACUUAAAGAAGAAGUGUUUAAAUCAAUGUUGCAGAAUUUAACUCAUCUCAGAGUGCUUAAUCUUAAUUACGCUAACAUCUCCUCUGUUUUGCCCGUGAAUAUCUCUGCUUCUUUAAGAGUUCUUCAAUUGUGGGGUACUGGUAUAGACGGAGUAGUACCCCAAGAGGUUUUCCACCUUCCCAACUUGGAAUCACUUGAUUUAUCAAGUAAUUACGACCUGAGAGCUACAUUACCCAAAGUUAAGUGGGGAAGUAAUGCUACUCUCCAACACCUUGUUCUUAAAUACAUCAACAUAGAUGGAGGUAUACCUGAUUCAAUAGGCUUUUUGGAGUCGUUGGGCAGUUUGGAUCUGAGCCGUUGUAAUUUGUCUGGGCCGAUUCCAAGAUCCAUCGGGCACCUCAUUCAACUUACUACAUUGGUCCUCUCUGAAAAUAAUCUCAAUGGCCCAAUUCUAACUUUUCUUACAGACCUUAAAGACUUGAGAUAUAUCUCCCUUGAGCGUAACAAUUUUACGGGUUCGUUUCCCUCUUUUCUUGCCCACUCCAGUAAACUAGUUGUGAUGUAUCUUGAUAGUAAUAGCUUUACUGGAUCCCUACCCAGUUGGUUGUUUCACCCUCCAUCGUUAGAGACCUUGUAUCUGCAUAAUAACGCAUUCACGGGUCAACUACAUGAAUUUCAUUCUUCUCACUCACGGCUGCAAUCUUUUUGGUGUAACAACAAUUUACUCUACGGAUCCAUUCCACAUUCAUUUUCUCAACUUGUGAAUCUCACAUCCCUAGAUUUGUCAUCAAACAAUUUCAGCGGGGUUUUGGAUUUGGAAAUGUUUUCAGGCCUCAAAUUUCUAAGAAGUCUUGAUCUUUCUCAUAACAGUCUGUCAGUGAGAAGUACAAUCAUGUCUACUCUCCCUCCUAAACUUAACCACUUGGGCUUGUCAUCUUGCAACAUGAAAGAGUUUCCUCACUUUUCAAGAGAUGCAAACAUCUCCAUGGAUUUUAUAGACCUAUCAAACAAUAAAAUUGAAGGGGAAAUUCCACACUGGAUUGGGUCGCUGGGGAGGUACUCUGACACUUACAGCUCCUAUCUGAAUCUUUCUCACAACAAACUAAUAGGCGGUCUUGAGCAACUGCCUUGGGGUUAUAUUACUUAUCUUGAUCUCCAAUACAAUAAGCUGGAUGGAUCGUUGCCCACCUUGAUGUGUAGUUCCACCUCUCUUCAUAUUCUAAAUCUGUCUCACAACAAAUUGAGUGGUGUACUACCCAGUUGUCCUCCACAUAGGAAUAUUCUUUCAGUGUUGGAUCUGCGGAGGAAUAAAAUUCAAGGAAACAUUCCAGCAACCUUGUCAAAUUUCUAUAAUCUGGAAACCAUUAAUUUGAAUGGAAACCAAUUAGAAGGAGGCAUUCCUUCUUCUUUUGCUGAAUUUGAUUCAUUAGCCGUUCUUGAUCUUGGAAAUAAUCAGAUAAAUGAUACAUUCCCCCGGUGUUUGGAAGCUCUUCCAAAUCUCCAAGUUCUUGUUCUCAAAUCAAACAAGUUUUAUGGUCUUAUAAACACGAGUUCUCAGGUUGUACACCCAUUUCCUAGCUUGAGAAUCAUUGAUCUUUCGUACAACAAGUUUUCAGGUGCACUGCCAGAAAAAUAUUUCAGAAACUUCAAGGCUAUGAUGAAUGGUGAAGUGAAUAAGGUAAAUCGUAGUUAUAUGGAGCAGGAGGAUUAUUACAGGGAUUCCACAGCUCUAGUGAUUAAAGGCAUGGAGAUUGAUUUAGAAAGAAUUUUGACUGUGUUCACAACUAUUGAUGUAUCAAAGAACAAUUUUGAUGGGGAGAUAGCUGAAUACUUUGGAAAUCUUGUAUCACUCAGAUUUCUUAAUCUUUCUCACAAUUAUCUCACAGGCCACAUACCACGCUCGAUUGGAAAAUUGACUGUGCUGGAGUCACUAGACCUCUCAUCCAACCAACUUAAAGGAGAAAUUCCUCCGCAGCUCACUAGUGUAUAUUCACUUGCAGUUCUCAAUCUGUCUUGCAACCAACUUAGAGGACGUAUUCCAGAAGGGUGGCAAUUCGAUACGUUUGAAAACAGCAGCUACGCUGGUAACUUUGGGCUGUGCGGACAUCCCUUGUCGAAAAAGUGUGAAUCUUAUGUUAAAACACAAGAAGAAGACGAAGAAGAUGAGGAUGAAUGUCACUUUUUCAGUGGUUUUACUUGGGAAGCGGUGGUGAUUGGAUAUGGGUGUGGAGUGGUGCCUGCAUUUAUUAUUGGGUACCUGAUGUUGCUGGCACAGAAACCAAAAUGGUUUGCUGGAAUCAUUGGCAGGGAAUUGGGCCUGAAGAUGAGGAGGAUGGAGAUUAGAAUGCGAUAACUAAAGGUUUGCUGUAAUCUGUAUCCCAUUCCCAGGUCUUGAAUAUUCUGUGAUAAUAUAGUAAUAUCUGGUCUCAUAUAAUUCUAUAUUUGCACCUGUAGACGUUUACAGAUUGGAGAGGCAUGAACAUUUUGGCAUGCAAGUUGAUGGGAAAAGCAGGAUUCAAAUGCAUUGGAAUCAACAACUGCGGUGUUGUAGGCAGCCAAGUUAAUAAACCACUACUUCAGCUGUUUUGCAUCUUCUGUGAUUUUAAAUUUUACAUUUUACAAUAUAAGUCAAAAGAUACAAGUUCAAUAUACAAGUUUUGUUUUGUUUAGUUCCAGCCUAUAAACACUUCAGUAGAUACCAGAGGAGAAAUGGAUACAAUCAAUGUCGGAAUUGGUCUUUAUAGUUGAAACAAAGACUACCAGAUCAUUACCAAUAUCAACUAGGCAUGUUGUUUAACGGGGAACUCAUAACUGGACAAUAAUUUUAAUAAUUUAGAAUUUGUGUAAUUUAUUACUGGUCUAAAGGACACGGGAUGGGUUUGCAAUAGUUAUUUGGAAACAGCUUGCUUAGAUAAAUGGACAGUGUUUUAUAAUAAUAGAGUCCGGGGCCUAUCAAGUGAUUGUUAGAGCAAUUUAUCUACUGUUUUUUAUAGCGGAAAAACAUAAACACUUGGUUUUUUAGUGCAUGCAGAGGGUCCAUCAGUCCAUCCGCAAUUUACACACUCAUUAUUCCAGGAUUCUCUGUUUCAUGGUAUUCUGCUGUGUAAAGAACAAUCACUUGUCAGGACCACCUCCCAUAAUCACAAGAGAUUCUAUAGGAAAAGAAGCAACAGACAUGGUUGGAUUGUUUGUUUUCUGUAUUCUUCUGCUAAAAGGCUACCCUUUUAAAGUCUCUUUUAUAUAUAAAGAUACAAAAAAAAAAAAAAAAAUCAUACUAAUAAAGAUUCUUUUUGGCUCCUCCAGAACUGGCCAGUUUUUCCUUAACUUUGCUUCUCCCACAUAAGACUAUAAGAAUAUUACAAUGAAAUAGUUGAUUAUCGUUGAACUUGCCAAUCUGUUGACUUGGUAAUUUGAAUUUGAUAAGCUCUGAAUUGUAAGUAACGAGGAACAAGAUGACAUGAUGGUAAAUAGAAAAUACAAGAUGUCCAUCAACAUAGCAAAGAAAUAUUUUUCAGCCGGACGACAUAUCAGGAUGUUCAUUACUAAAACAUGUUUGCUGAUGCUUUAUAAUGUACAAUUUACAAUAUAUCACAGGUUGUAAUAUACACUACUAGAUGAUUUUAUGGCCUGUUUAUCCUUAAUCGCUAUCAUGAACUAAUGAAAAUUUAUAAAAGUGGAUCACAUUUGCAGUGAUGCCGCUAUUUUUCCUGAAUUUCCCUAGUUGUGAAGAUUCCCUAGUUGUGAAGAUUGUCUAAAUCAUGUUAGAGUCGCUGCCAUCAGUGAAUGCAUUCAAUGGCUUACUGAAACUGGUAGAGAUACUAAAUUGCAAGAUGACAGAGUGUCCAUGCGUCAUUUUAAGGAUCAAGAUGUGUAGCUGUGACUUGUAUUUUAAAAUUGCAAGAUGUUUUACAAUGGUAGCAGAGGAGGGCUGGGGAUUUAUUGGGUCAGUUCGAAGCACACAAGUAGAAUUGGUUGUGGCAGAGCAAGAAGCUGAGCACGACCAUAAGAAUUUGAACUCUGAGGCUAAUUUGACUCUACUUGUACAAGUUAAUAUAUGAUGGCACAAGUUAAUAUAUGAUGGCAGCAAAGGAGUUUCUUACAUGCGCCAGUUUACAGUUCUUAGAAACAUCUUAUUAUGCUUAUUUGUACUAAACAGAUAUUAGUAGUCCACCAGAAACAAGGAGAUUUGAUAUAUCCCGGACUCUGAGGCCGGUGACAGUCUAUGAGAGGGCAUGUAAUCGAUGGAACAAGGAGGAUUCAGAUACAUUGGAUUCAUUAACAGAACUUCUUCAGAGCCGGAGUCACUUCCAGAUGCUCUCUUCUGGUAGAUAUCUAUUGGAGAAGUAAAAACAUCUCAUAAUCAUCAUUCAGCACUUGCUCUGAGUUUGUUGAUCAACCAUGCGAUGUUGAAGGCAGCUCUUAUCUUAUCUGCAAUCAAGUUAAUGAACCACCACCUCAGUUGUUAAGCAUCUUUCACCAUUUUACAUUUUACAACUCACAAUAAAAGAUUACAUGUGUAUUAAUCUGAUCAUCAUUUGUUUGAUCAAUAUAGAAGUUCGGCUCUGUUUACUUCUAUCCCUGGCUCUUCAUUUCUAGAACAUUGUUGAUACUUUUUAUUGAAUGGUUAAGAAUAUUCCAUAGAUUUUUAUAUUCAGUGCUAGAUGAUUUUAUGUCCUGUUUUCAUUCCAUUCAUGAACUAAUUAAAAAUUUGAAAGUGAUGCCCACCUUUCUGGACCUGCAUUCCAUGACCACAAACUCCAAUUCUGCCCAAAAAUUGCAGCUGUUUCGUAAUAUUUUUCUACGUGUUCUUUUGUUUGGACUUGUUUGCUGGACCAUGCAUAUUGUUUUGAUACAAACAUCUUUGUUGAUGUUAACACUCAUUGUUAGUAGCCCAUUCUUUACGGCAGACAUUGAAUUGGAUUUACUUGAAGAAAUGAAGGUUUAAGAAAGUUCAGAGCAAUUUGUUGAUUAUUUCCUUCCCUAGAAACUGCACUCCAGCAUCAAAGUACCUUUCAAAGACUCUACACAUAAUCUCUUGAUUAUCAAAGACUUGGUCUUGCAUAUACUGAUAUACACUGAAUAUAGGUUUCUUUCAUUUCCUUGAAAUUGCAUUUUUCGAAGUAACUCUCCAGACUCAUUCCCGUCACUUCUCAAAGUCUUAGUCCUCAUCAAUACAUUCACAUAAUAUCACACCAAUUUGCUCAUGCUCAGAUGGGCUUUUCUUACAAACCACAUAUGUUCACUUCUCAGAGUCUUAGUCCUCGUCAAUGUAUAGAGAUAAUAUCUCACCAUUUGCUAGUGCUACAAAUCAGUUUCUCCUACAACCACACAUAAUCGGAGAAAAGUCUGUCAAGUGUCAAGUGGACUUGAAAGACCCUUCUGCAUGGAUUAUUGUAUGUCAUGAAUGCCUUCUGAUAUCCCUGAAAGUGCAAGCAAGUUAUAAAAGUAGCUGGGCAGACUCUUUCUCAUCAAUACAUUCACAUUCAAAGCGGGCGUUGAUAUGCCUCCCUAAUUUUCUAAUGCCCUAGACGGAAUUCUAUUACAAUCCACAUAUGAUGGGUAGCGAUCAUCAAUUCAAAGAAGACACUAUCAGCAGCUUGCAGGAAAUGACCCCUCUGCAUGGAUUAUCGAAGAAAGAAACUUAUACCUAUAAAGCUGUAGAAAACCAAUGGUAAGCAUAACUGCAUAUAAGAUACAAAACUAAAUUUAAUACAAGACUCGUUCUGAGCAUUGGAAAAUAUGCUUUUAUUGCAGCCAAUGUAUUAGUGAAAAGAAUUAAAUUUAAAUUAAUUGUAGACUGCAAAUAUAAGAUUAGGAGAGUUUCUACAACCCACAAAUUAGUAGACAGACUAAUAUGAUUAGUUGAGACCAUCAAUCUGGAGAAACUGUUUCUACAAUGACCCAUCUGUAUGAAUUAUUGAAGAAAGAAACUUAUACCUACAAUGUAAAGGAAAUAAUCACGAGUAUAUUGCAUUUUUAAUCCAAAUUGUAUAUGAUUCUAUCUGUGCUACUGAUAGUAAAUAAUAAAUCUACAACGGGCCUUGCAGUUAAUCAAGGUAUUUAACUCUACCUUUCUACAUUGUUGAAUAGUUUGAAUAAAAUAAUUGUAAUAAAUUUUUUGCUGGAUGCUGUGUGAGUUUACCAGAGCUUAUCUUGGUGAGAAGUCUGAGUACAAGGCAAUGAGCAGGAAACAACAUAGGGAGUUUACAACUAGAAGUAUCUAUUCUCCCCUAGUCUUUUUGUGAACAUCAAGAGGCCAUUCAUUUUGCUCACAAACCAGUUAAAAAUGGCAGGACUACACAUAAUGAAUCACGCAGUCACUUUAUGUGAGAAAAGAAAAAUGUCAGGACAGCAGCUCAAACGUUUAAAAAACUUCAUUAAUUAUUUUCUUUUAUUGAAACCACACUCAUCCAUCAAAGUAGCUCUCAAAGACUAAUUUCCAUCACCUUUUGAUUCUCAAAGUCUUCUUCUUCGUCUUUUACUGCUCCUAAAGUUCUUCCAUUGCAAGCCACAUAUUAGUAGACAUACUACAUCAACUCUGUGGAAAGAAACAAUCUAUACUUGAUCUUGAUGUACAAUGUUAUGAUGUAAAUGUAUAAUAUCAAAAUUAGGAAUAGUAGUCACGCGCUAAUUAAUAACCCUCUGCAGGGGUUAUUAAAGAAAGCAACUUAUAGUUUAAGUUGCUGAACAUUUGUGUGUGCCAAAUUUAAUUUCACACAUCAUUACUAGAUUUACACAUGGUAUUAGACAUCAGUACUAGUAUAAGAUGUUAAUCAAGUUUUAUAAUUUCUUUUAUUUCAGAUAACAAGUUUUUUUUUUUGUGGAAUUAAUUAUUUAUAUCAUGCAUUUGAGCUUUAAAAUUAGCUCUACAUAAAAGUUGGUCUAUUGCAGUAGACACUAAAAUGAUUUCGCUCAAAGAAACAAUGAUGUAUAUGAAGAUUUUCAGAACUGAAUUUCUUUCUAUUUCUAAAAAUUGCAUUCAAGAACCGAAAGUAGCUCACAAAGACUCAUUACAUCAUCUUUCAAUUCUCAUUGUCUUGGUCUUUGUCUUCUACUGCUCAAAAUUCUAUUACAGCCCACAUAUCAGUAUCAUAUACCUAAUCAUAAAUAGUAUUUAAUAUUUAACACAAUUGAAGAUUUGUCUCAGAGACUUACUUCCAUCACCUUAUGGUUCUCAAAGUCUUCGUCUUCUAAUGCUCCAAAAGUUCUAUUAGUUCAGGCCACAUAUUAGUAAACAGACUACAAUUCAUCCAAAAUGACCCCUCUUAUUGGACACUUUGAACACCUCUAUCUGUAUAUGCAUUGGAGAAGAAUUAUCAGCUAGUUAAAAUAACCUCUUCGCAUCAACUCUAUCGAAAGAAGCAAUUCAUACCUAAAGUACAAUGUUUGGAUAAAAUCAGGAAUAGCAACUGCACGCUAAUUUUUUAGUUGAAGCAGGCUACCUUGGUGUAAUUCAGUGAACAUCCCCGUAAUUUCUUGACAGGCCACAAUUAAGGAAGUUCACAGAAUUAAAUUCCAGAAGUAGCUCCCUGAGACAGAUUUGCAUCAUCUUUCCAUCCUCAAAGUUCUUUACACUUAUAUUAUAUUUCAUGUUUUAUUGUAAUGAACAUAGCAGUUUCCUGUUCAGUAAUAUUCCAGGCUCAGGUUCUUCAUUCCUAGUCUCUGUUACAUGUUUGCCACUAAAACGUAUUGAACAGUUAUUAGUUUAUGAUUGUAUUCCAUCUUGAAAGGAGAUCUCAAAGACUCAUUCCCAUAAUCUUAAGAAUCUCAAGUCUUGAUGAACUUGGCCUUCAUCAUAUUUGUACUCUUGUAAUUCCAUAUUAAUGAAGUUUAAAUAUUUAUUUCAAAAAAAAAUGAAGUUUAAAUAUUAAAAUUUUUAAUUUUAGUAAAUUUGUAAAAAUAGUAAAAUUUGUCUUAUUUAUAAUAUUAAUAAAUCUCUUACUUUCUCGUUACUGUAUUCAACUUAAUAAUUCUUACAAACACUUGUAAGUGCAUCACAUAAGUUAUGUAAAUUCAGAAUAAAUUAUGUCCGAUUUCUUUAAGAGAGAUUGUUAUAUUGUUUUUACUUUAAAAAUUGAAUUAUCUUUUAUUUUUAAUAUAAUUUACAACUAAAAAAUAUUUAAUAUAUUUUCUUAUUUUUGUAAUAUGACUAAACAUAUCUUAAAUACACCUUUUUCCUAUAUAUAUAUAUAUAUACAUCUAUUAUAUUUUUUAUGAAAUAUAAUUACAAAUUUUGAUUAUUAAACCGAAAACGAAGUUAUACAAUUUUUUUAUUUCAAAGAUCAUCUAAUAUAUCAUGUAAUAUCUCAACAUGAUUCUAUAACAGAAUAAUAAUCAUUCAGAAUUAUUCUGUUGUAGAAUCAGUUUCGAAACUAUACUUUUUUUUAUCAAAUUUUAAGUGUUAAAUUACUUAAAAUAGAUAUAUUUUAUAGUAUUCUAUAUUAGAAUCACGUUUUAUAUGUAUUUUAUAGCAGAAUUUAUAAUAAAAUUGAUGAUUUAUAAUGCCGCACUAUGUAACUUCAUAUAAAGAGUCCCUUUCUGGAAUGUUGGCAUAUAUAUAUACUAGCUUAAAACCCGUGCAAUGCACGGGCGGUUAUGAUAUUUAUUAUUUUAUCGUAUAUAUUCCAGAUUUAACUAAUUUUAUUGAAAUUAAAAUUGUGAUAGAAUAAUGUGAUUAAAUAAAACAUUUAUUUAACGACUGAAAAAUUCUUAAUAGUUAAAUCCGUCAAAUAGCUAAUUUAAAAUUAAGUCAAAUAUAUAUUUUAAUAAAAAUGUUAAAAUAUAUUAUAUUUUUUAUAUGUUAUAAUUCAAGAAGACACAUAAACCUAGAUAUAAACAACCCAAUCAACCUUUUAAUAUUUUGUUAUUAAUAAUAUAGAACAAAUCCUUAAAAUAGAAUCAGAUAAGUAUAAAACAUAUUGUAAGCUAAAGGGAAGUGUACUGAUCCAUAACACUAACCUAAUUUAUUUAUUUUUAAACAGCACUAACCUAAUUUAUAAAUUAAGGAGGUCCAUGGAUCAAAUAUGAACCGGUUUAUAAAACUCGACCGACCAACUGAACUUUUCAGUUUAUGUUUUAAUAGUACAAUAAUAUAUAGUAUAGUAUAGAUUUGUAAUUUUAACUUUUAAAUUUAGAUCAGUAGAGCAUUUAAAGUAACGUUAAUAUAUUUUGAUCGACAAAUAUCGCCAUUUAUUUAAUAAUAUUGUUAUAUUUUUAUAUAUAUGUCGCCCGUGUUAAUUGUAGUAGAUCAAUUUUUUCAGUCAGUAAAUCUUAAAAAAAAAAUGUGUUUUAGUUAAAAAGGUAAUUACUAUUGCUCGAUGUUAUUUUAGAAAAUUGUGUUUUUUUAGUUAGAAAAUAUAAAAAAGAUAACAUAUUCUAGUUUAAAAGAAUAUUUAGUUAUAUAGAUAGGCCUGUAUUUCGGCCCAAAGUUAAAAAGAAUACUCCCUCCGUCCCCUCCAAUUCUUAUCGUUUGGAAUGGAGUGCUCGGCACGCAUUUUAAGACUCAUAUAAAGUAUAGUUCCAUAACUCAUUUUCAUAAUUCUCUUUUUCUGAAUAAAAAUUUAAACAUUACAUUUUUAUUUAAAAAAAGAAAAUUUUAAAAAUAAGUUAUGGAACUAUACUUUAUAUAAGCCUUAAAAUGCGUGCCGAGCACUCCAAUCCAAAUGAUAAGAAUUGGAAGAGACAGAGGGAGUAAUUAGUUAUGUCGAUAGACCCGUAUUCGGUCCAAUUACUUACAUACCAUAACUUUCAAUUUUCGAUUUUAAUAAUAUAGUAAACCUUAAAAAAGAUAAUGUAUUUUAGUUAAAAAGGUAAUAACUAUAUUGUUCGAUGUUAUUUUAUAAAAUUGAGUUUUUUAGUUAGAAAAUAUAAAAAAGAUAACAUAUUAUAGUUAAAAAGAAUAAUUAGUUAUAUAAAUAGGCCUUAUUUCGGCCUAAAGUUAAAAAUAAUAAUUGGUUAUAUAGAUAGGCCCGUAUUUCGGCCCAAAUUUUGACCGAUCAAACUUUCAAUGUUCGUAAUUACUGUUGCUCGAUGUUAUUUUAGAAAAUUGAGUUUUUUUAGUUAGAAACUUUAAAAAAGAUAACAUAUUCUGGUUUAAAAGAAUAAUUAGGUAUAUCGAUAGGCCUGUAUUUCGAUUUUCGGCCCAAAGUUAAUAAGAAUUAUUAGUUAUGUCGAUAGGCCCGUAUUCGGUCGAAUUACCGACAUACCAAACUUUCAAUUUUUUAUUUUAAUAGUAUAGUGAACCUUAAAAAAGAUAACGUAUUUUAGUUAAAAAGGUAAUAACUAUAUUGUUCGAUGUUAUUUUAGAAAAUUGAGUUUUUCUAGUUAAAAAAUAUAAAAAAGAUAACAUAUUAUAAUUAAAAAAAUAAUUAGUUAUAUAAAUAGGCCUUAUUUCAGCCCAAAGUUAAAAAUAAUAAUUAGUUAUAUAGAUAGUCCCGUAUUUCGGCCGAAAUAUCGACCGAUCAAACUUUCAAUGUUUCAGUUUUAAAAAUAUAGUAUAGCUUUCGGCCCAAAGUUAAAAGAAUAAUUAGUUCUACAGAUAAGCCCGUACUUCGGCCCAAGUACCGACCGACCGACCAAACUUUUAAUGUUUCGGCUUUAAUAGUACUAACUUAUAGCCCGUGCAAGGCAUGGGAGCUUUUUAGUAAUUUAUAAACUUUUUAAAUAUAUUUUAAAUUAUGUGAAAAUUUUUAAUUUACAAAUAAUAAAUUAAAAUUUUCAAUUAAAUAAAAUUUGAAAUUAUGAUUUGUUUGCAAUUCCGAACUUUUGUAAAAAUAUAUAAUUUUUAUAUGAUGUUGGUACAAUUUAAAAUUUUAUCUUAAAUUUUAGUUGAAUCUAAUACAAAAUAUUAGUUUCCAUGAUUUAUUAGUUAUGAAUAACUUAAGCUAACGUAUUCGUCUUUAAUAAUAAAAAUAUUUAAUAGCAUGAGGUAAUGCAUAUUUGCAUAUAAUUUUUCAUUUUUCUUUUUUAAUAUAUAUACUUGAAUAAAAAUAUUUAUUUUAAAAAUAUUUUUAUGUUAAAUUAUUAAUCUUUAUAUAUAAAAUAUAUUCCCUACGGGCUACGUCCCAUCAUAUUAUUUAGAGUUUUUUUUUUGGGAUGUACCAUCAAAUUCUUUACAUUUCAAAACUUACCAAAUAGGUCCCACCACUACACAACUUUUCCUACCUUUUCACACUACUUUUACUCCUUUUUCACAAUACCUUUACUCUACUAUCUUCUUUUUAUACAUUAAAAAUUAAUAGGUCCCACUACUUACCCAUUUUUCUUUUUAUUUUCCACUACUUUGUACAUAUAUCUUCACCUCCGUGCCCAAACCAAACAUAAAGAUUGGCUGGGACGGAAGGAGUAUUCAUUAAUAAUUUGAAUAACAUGCAUGCAAAUAGAAGGCAUAACAUGUCUGGAUUAGGAAAAUUUGUUAAAAAUAUGCGUUAUAUUUUUCACACUUGUUUCUAAUUUGGAUAAAAAUAUUUUUGUGAUCGUGCAAUUUGUAUGAUUCUACAAAUAAAAAUGGGAAUAUUUAUUUUAGAUUAAAAUAACAUAAACACGUGAAAGAAAUAAUUUGUUUUGGAUUCAGAAAAGAAGAUAUCAGUUGCCUAGCUGCCUUAUAAGUUCUAAUCUAACAGUGCUUAUUUGAUCAAUAUACGAUCUAACGGAUGAUAAGCUUUUGGACCAGAGGACCAUGCGACCAAAUUAUCUCCCUUACGCUUAUUAUAUAAUACUAGCUUAUAGCCCGUGCAAGGCACGGGAGCUUUUUAAUUAUUUAUAAAUUUUUUAAAUAUAUUUUAAAUGGUGUGAAAAAAUUAAUUUAUAAAUAAUAAAUUAAAAUUGUACAUAUCAUGCCAAAGUAUUAAAUUCUUUCUAUCAAAUUUUAAACCAACUCCUAUUAGAUUAUAUUUAUAAAAGUUCUAAUCUAACAGUGCUUAUUUGAUCAAUAUACGAUCUAACGGAUGAUAAGCUUUUGGACCAGAGGACCAUGCGACCAAAUUAUCUCCCUUACGCUUAUUAUAUAAUAUAGCUUAUAGCCCGUGCAAGGCACGGGUGCUUUUUAAUUAUUUAUAAACUUUUUAAAUAUAUUUUAAAUGGUGUGAAAAAAUUAAUUUAUAAAUAAUACAUUAAAAUUGUAUUCUCAAAAUGGUGUGAAAAAAUUUAAUUUAUAAAUGUUAAAUUAAAAUUGUAUGUAUCAAUGCCAAAGUAUUAAAUUCUUUCUAAAUUUUAAAUUAUUUUAAGUAGUGUGACGCCAACUCCUAUUAGAUUAUAUUUAUAAAUGUAUUUUAUAUUAGAAUUAUUAUAAUGUGAUUUAAAUAUUUUUCUAAAAAUUUUUAUGGUUCGAGAUUAAAAUUGAUAAACACAAUUUGUUUUGAAUUAAGAAGAUGAAUCAUAAACAUGCAAUAAGAUGGUAGAAUUUGCUUUGGAUUAAAAAAUUUUUUUUGUAUUUGUUCCUCACAUAAAUCGGGCUUAUUAAUUUUGAAAUAUAUUAGGUAAAAAUAAUUUUGUGACUGUGCGAUUUAUAUGAUUCUACAAAUAAAAUUGGUAGAAAAUAUUUAUUUUGGAUCAAAAAAAAUCAUAAACACGGGAAAUACUUAAUUUGUUUUGGAUUCAGAAAAGGAUUUAUAAACAUGCAAGUAGAUAUCAGUUGUGUUAUGGAACAAAAGUUAAUUUUGUUCUAAUCCAACGGUGCUUAUUUGUUCAAUAUACGAUCCGAUGGAUAAAAAUAAUCUUGUGACGGUGUGAUUUAUACGAUUCCACAAUUAAAAUUUGUAGGAAAUAUUUAUUUUGAAUUAAAAAAAAACAAAAACACAUGAAAGACAGAAUUUGUUUUGAAUUCAGAAAAAGAAUUAUAAACAUGCAAGUAGAUGUCAGUUUCCUUAUAGAACAGAAUUUAAUUUUGUUCUAAUCUAACGGUGCUUAUUUGUUCAAUAUACGAUCCAACGGCUUUUGGACCACAGGACCUUGCGACCAAAUUAUCUCCCUUACGCUUAUUAUAUAUAAGUAUAUAAUAAGUAUAUAAUAGUAUAGAUAUGCUAGUCUUAAAUAUAUUUUUUUCCUAUAUAUAUGCUAGCCUCUUGAGACGUGAUCAUCCCAAACAAAAAAAUUUAACGGAAAAAGAAAAUGAGGAAUUCCAUCCUCUGUUUUUCCACCAUCUGUUUGUUGCUCAUCUUCCUGCAGUUGCAGCACAACCUAGUGGCUUGUUCAUUAAGCCCCCACUUGCAGAAACUUGCCUUGUUCCAUUUUAACCAAACCUUAACAAUCAGUACUACUAGCUGGGAUUGCGAAUACGUUUCCUACGAAGAGAAUGCAGUGUAUGAAAUUCCUUCACGGGCAAAGACAAAGAAUUGGAGCAUGAGUUCUGAUCACUGCACAUGGGAUGGAGUUAGCUGCGACGACAAGACAGGGGACGUUAUCGGACUGGAUUUAAGUUGCAGUCAGCUGGAAGGAGCCAUUCUUCCUAACAGCGCUCUCUUCCAGCUCUCUCAUCUCCGCUUCCUCAAUCUUUCUCAAAACGACUUUUACCUCGCCAGUCAGUUCCCUCAGGAAUUUGGUUUCUUUGCAAAAGGUUUGACGCAUCUCAACCUCUCUAAUACUGGAUUAUCAGGGAGAGUUCCCUCGGGAAUCUCUCAUUUGUAUAAACUUGUCUCACUUGAUCUCAGUGACAACUCAGUCUCACUUGAUCUCAGUCAGAACUAUGAGGCUAAACUUGAAGAAGAAGUGUUUAAAUCAGUGUUGCAGAAUUUAACUCAUCUUGAAGUGCUUAAUCUUAAUGGAGUUAAGAUCUCCUCUGUUUUGCCCCUGAAUAUCUCUACUUCUUUAAGAGUUCUUCAAUUGAGGUAUACUUAUAUACACGGAGUAGUACCCCAAGAGGUUUUCCACCUUCCCAACUUGGAAUUACUUGAUUUAUCACUUAAUGACGACCUGAGAGCAACAUUACCCAAAGUUAAGUGGGGAAGUAAAGUUACUCUCCAACACCUUCAUCUUUCAUACAUCAACAUAGAUGGAGGUAUACCUGACUCAAUAGGCUUUUUGGAGUCAUUAGUCAGUUUGGAUUUGAGCAGCUGUAAUUUGUCUGGGCCUAUACCAAGAUCCAUUGGGCACCUCGUUCAACUUACUCGCUUGGACCUCUCUCAAAAUAUUCUCAAUGGCCCAGUUCCAACAUUUUUUACAGACCUUACAGACUUAAGAUAUAUCUCCCUUUGGCAAAACAAUUUCACUGGAUCCCUACCUCGUUCGUUGUUUCACCAUCCAUCCUUAGAGUCCUUGUCUCUGGAUAAUAAUGCAUUCACGGGUCAACUACAUGAAUUUGAUUCUUCUCGCUCACGGCUGCAAUCUUUUUCUUGUUCCAACAAUUCACUCUAUGGAUCCAUUCCACAUUCUUUUUCUCAGCUUGUGAAUCUCACUGUCCUAGAUUUGUCAUCAAACAAUUUCAGCGGGGUUUUGGAUUUGGAAAUGUUUUCAGGCCUCGAAUCUCUAAAACGUCUUCAUCUUUCUGAUAACAGUCUUUCAGUGAGAAGUACAAUUAUGGCCACUCUCCCUCCUAAUCUUUACUCCUUGGGCUUGUCAUCUUGCAACAUGAAAGAGUUCCCCCACUUUUCAAGAGAUGCAAACAUCUCCCUGAAUCUUAUAGACCUAUCAAACAAUAAAAUUGAAGGGGAAAUUCCACACUGGAUUGGGUCGGUGGGGGAUUUCUAUGGAAUCCCUUAUCUGAAUCUAUCUCACAACAAACUAAUAGGCGGUCUUGAGCAACUGCCUUGGGGUUAUAUUCAAUAUCUUGAUCUCCAAGACAACAAGCUGAAUGGCUCCUUGCCCACCUUGAUGUGUAAUUCCAGCUCUCUUGAGAUUCUAAAUCUCUCUCACAACAAUUUGAGUGGUGUACUCCCCAUUUGUCAUACAAAUUUGACUCAGCUUUCGGUGUUGGAUCUGCGGAGGAAUAAAAUUCAAGGAAUCAUUCCAGCAACCUUGUCAAAUUUCCGUUAUCUGGAAACUAUUAAUUUGAAUGGAAACCGCUUACAAGGAAGCAUUCCUUCUUCUUUUGCUGAAUUAGAUUCUUUAGCCGUCCUUGAUCUUGGAAAUAAUCAGAUAAAUGAUACAUUCCCCCUGUGUUUGGAAGCUCUUCCAAAACUCCAAGUUCUUGUUCUCAAAUCAAACAAGUUUCAUGGUAUAAUAAACCAGAGUUCUGAGACAAAACACCCAUUUCCUAGCUUAAGAAUCAUUGAUCUUUCGUACAAUGAGUUUUCAGGUGCACUGCCAGAAAAAUAUUUUAGAAACUUCAAGGCUAUGAUGAAUGCGGAAGUGAAUAAGAUAAAUCGUAGCUAUAUGGAGCAUCGGUAUUACAGUGAUUCCACAGCUCUGGUGAUUAAAGGCAUGGAUAUUGAUUUACAUAGAAUUUUGACUGUGUUCACAACUAUUGAUGUAUCAAAGAACAAUUUUGAUGGGGGGAUAGCUGAAUACUUUGGAAAUCUAGUAUCACUCAGAUUUCUUAAUCUUUCUCACAAUUAUCUCACAGGCCACAUACCAUGCUCGAUUGGAAAAUUGACUGUGCUGGAGUCACUAGACCUCUCAUCCAACCAACUUGAAGGAGAAAUACCUCAGCAGCUCACUAGUGUAUAUUCACUUGCAGUUCUAAAUCUGUCUUGCAACCAACUUAGAGGACGUAUUCCAGAAGGGUGGCAAUUCGAUACGUUUGAAAACAGCAGCUACGCUGGUAACUUUGGGCUGUGCGGACAUCCCUUGUCGAAAAAGUGUGAAUCUUAUGUUAGGACACAAGAAGAAGAUGACGAAGAUGAGGAUGAAUGUCACUUUUUCUGUGGUUUUACUUGGGAAGCGGUGGUGAUUGGAUAUGGGUGUGGAGUGGUGCCUGCAUUUAUCACUGGCUACCUGAUGUUGCUGGCACGGAAACCAAAAUGGUUUGCUGGAAUCAUUGGCAGGGAAUUGGGGCUCAAGAUCAGGAGGAUGGAGAUUAGAAUGCGAUACUAAAGGUUUGCUGUAAUCUGUAUCCCAUUCCCAGGUCUUGAAAAUUCUGUAAUAAUAUAUAGUAAUAUCUGCUCUCAUAUAAUUCUAUAUUUGCAGAUUCAGAUGGGACAAGCAGGAUCAGAUGCAUUGGAAUCAACCACUAGUACUUCAGCUGUUUUGUCAUUCUAAAUUUUACAUUUUACAAUAAAAGUCAAAAGAUACAAGUUAUGUAGUAUUGUUUUGUUCCAGCCUCAGGCUCUUCAUUUCUAAAACAUGUUUGCGGAUGCUUUACAAUGUACAAUUUACAAUAUAUCAAAGUUUUUAAUAUACACUACCAGAACUGGGUUACAUUGCAGUGUUGUCGCCAUUUUUCUGAAUUUCACUAGUUGGGAAGACUGUAUAAAUUAUGUUAGAGUCGCUGCUAUCAGUGAUCGCGUUCAACAACUUAUCUCAAACUGGUAAGAUUUACUAAAUUUUUAAUUUCACAAGCUGUUGAUAGAAUAGAAGAUGCCUCAGUUUAAGGAUCGAGAAUGUAUUAAUGAACUGUCCCAGCCCUGAGAAAUUCUCUUUGAUGGGGCUGCAGUUUCAAUAAAUCGCCUCUUGUACUCAGCCAUCAUACAGUGAACCACCGUCCGAUGGUCGAAAUUGGCGAAGCAUGAUGGCUUUAAAUCAGCCCAUAACCUGAUGGGGUGGCAUUUCUGUUCCCCAUUAGUACCAAUGCAGGGUGUCCCCUUCCAAAGCUACUCUGCAACAAUUUCCAACAUCUCGUAUUCACUUAACCCGUUCAGUAGACAACAAGGUUAGGAGCAAGAAUGAGUCGGUGUCUGGACAUGAGAUUAGGAAUACUAUUACCUCUGACUUCUGAGGCCCGUGACAGAUCGAAGAGGCAUGAAAGUUGGGGACAGGGGACGGCUGGUGCAUUGGAAUGAAAGUAAAAAACUUUUUCAGAGCCUGAUGCUCUCAAGGAUGCAGUCUAAUGAACAAGCGUAAUGAUGUCAUGUUAACUGUCAACCACCUAGUCAAAAUUACUUGAAAUGAUGAAAUUUAUGACAGUAAAUUUAUGAUGCUCUGAGUUUGUUGAUCAACCAAGCUAUGUUGUAGGCAGCUCUUAUCUGAUCUGCAAUCAAGUUAAUGAACCACUACCUCAGUUCAACAUUUUACAUUUUACAGCUCAGAAUAAAAGAUUACAUGUGUAUUAAUCUGAUCAUCAUUUGUUUGAUCAAUUUAGAAGUUCGGCUUUGUUUACUUCUAUCCCGGGCUCUUCAUUUCUAGAGCAUAUUUGUUGAUACUUUUUAUUGAACGGUUAAGAAUAUACCAUAGAUUUUUAUAUUCGGCGUAGAUGAUUUUAUGUCCUGAUUUCAUUCCAUUCAUGAACUAAUUAAAAAUUUGAAAGUGGGUCAUAUCUGGCAGUGAUGCCAGCCCUUCCUGACCUGCAUUUCAUGACCACAAACUCCAAUUCUGCCCAAAAAUUGCAGCUGUUUCGUAAUAUUUUUCUACGUGCUCUUUUGUUUGGACUUGUUUGCUGGACCAUGCAUAUGUUUUGAUACAUCUUUGUUGAUGUUAACACUCUUGUGUCAGUUACUGGACUCAUUGUUAGUAGCCCAUUCUUUACGGCAGACAUUGAAUUGGAUUUACUUGAAGAAAUGAAGGAUUAAGAAAGUUCAGAACAAUUUGUUGAUUAUUUCCUUCCCUAGAAACUGCACUCCAGCAUCAAAGUACCUUUCAAAGACUCCAGACAUCAUCUCUUGAUUAUCAAAGACUUGGUCUUGCAUAUACUGAUAUACCGUGAAUAUAGGUUUCUUUCAUUUCCUUGAAAUUGCAUUUUUUGAAGUAGCUUUCCAGACUCAUUCCCGUCACUUCUCAAAGUCUUAUUCCCCAUCAAUACAUACACAUAAUAUCACACCAAUUUGCUCAUGCUCAGAUGGGCUUUUCUUACAAACCACACAUGUUCACUUCUCAUAGUCUUAGUCCUCGUUAAUAUAUACAGAUAAUAUCCCACCAAUUUGCUGGUGCUACAAAUGGGCUUCUCCUACAAGUCUACAACUACACAUAAUCGGAGAAAAGUCUGUCAAAUGGAUCUUGAAAGACCCUUCUGCAUUGAUUAUCAAAGUAUAUUAUCUGUUAACAUAAAUGUAUUUUAUCAAAGUACUCUCUAAAUAAAAACUAGUAAUAGCAGUUACACAGUAAAAAUUUUUCCUCAAACAAUUACCACCUCAAAUGAGAUAGGCAACCUUAGAUUCUCCAAAAGUGCUUAUAUUGCAACCCUUGUGUAAUGACUAAUAACAGUCAUGAUUAGUAGACAGACCAUAAUUGCGAUGGUUCGAACUUUUUUACUUGAGCUGGAGAGAAGACUUUGAACUGCAGUGUUAGCUAGGAGUUUUUGCACCGUUCCUUUCCCUGUCUUGAAAUUGCAUUUCAGCUCCAAAAGUAGAUUUCAGAGACUGAUUCAUGCCAUCUUUUAAUUUUCAAUGGCAUAGUCGCGAUGACACUCUCACUUCUCACAUUGGAAAACUUUUACCAACACAAUGAAAUUUAUAAGAGUAAAAUGCAAAGCGGUGGUUAAAUUUAUAAGAGUUCUAUCGAAGUCUAGUUUACCUAAAUAACUGCAAAAUGGUUAGGGUUGUUCACGAACCGAGCCGAGCCGAGUUUUGACCGAACCGAGCCAAGCUUUAAUUUUUUUUCUGACGAGCCGAGCCGGGCCGAGCUUUUUUAUCGAACAAAAUUUGUGUUCAAGCUCGGCUCGUUAACUAACGAGCCGAACACGAGCUUGUUCGCGAACAAAUACAAGCCGAACCGAGUAGAAUCGAGUCGAGCCGAGCCAGAAAAAAAAUAAGAACAAACCGCUAGUUGACUCUUAAAAUAGCUAACCAAAUAAUUUUAUUUUUUUUUAAACUUUGUUUAUAUCACUAAAAUGUAUAUAUGUUAACAUCCAUACGGUUGGAUCGGUAAGAAAUAUUUUUUAAAAUAUUGAAACACUAAAUUAGGAUUAAACACUAGUUAGCAGUACUAUUUAACCUUCUACUUGACUGUUAAAAUAGCAAACCAUAUAAAAUUAUUAUUUUCCGAAAUUUUGGUUACAUCACUGAAAUAUAUAUAUAUUAAUUAUAUGUUGAAUUCUGAGUUCAAUAACAUAUAUAAAUUAUAAAAAAAACCCCGAAAAUAUUACAUUUUUUCGAGCUUUAACGAGCCGAGCUCGAGCCGAGCGAGCUCGAGUCGAGCUCGAGCCGAGCUCGAGCCGAACAUACUAAAAGCUCGGCUCGAGCUCGUUUACUUAACGAACAAUUUUUUGUGUUCGUCCUCGAGCUCGUUAACUUAACGAGCCGAGCCGAACGAGCUCUUAACGAGCCGAGCUCGAGCUUGUUCGCGAACAGCUCGGUUCGUUAAGCAGCCCUAAAAAUGGUGAAACAAACUAGGGCUUAGAAAAUGGUACAAUUUGCGGUUUUGUAUCUAUUGGGCAUCUAUUUUGGUGUGCUAGUCAACUUGUAUGGUUCUUAAAGUUUACAACUUGAAACAGUUAAUAUCAAAUGUCAAAGUGAAAAUAUGUGUAGUUUUAACUUCACAAUAUUUUCUUGGUGCGGGCUAUGUAAGUUAUCUUUUACAUGGUGAAUCAAGUUAUGAUACUCAGAAUCAAUUAUGUUUCACUUUCGUAUUUUCCACCUGGUCGUAAGAUUUGUAGUUUUCCUUCGCUAUUGUAAAGGUUGUGUUCUAUUAAGGGUGAUAUAUGCGCACCCUAAAUUAAUUUAUGCACACUUUACCUUCUGUUUCAUAUCAAAUUACCCUUGUCUUUUAUCAUUUCAACCAAAUAUUUUAUUAAUUCAAAGGGGUAAUUUAGUACAAACUAGAUGAAAGGUGUGCAUAAAUAAAUUUAGGGUGUGCAUAAAUCAGCACCCAAUGUAUUUAGUGAUUCCACUGAUGAUAAUGUUAAGCAAUUAACAGGUAUUAAAAUGCUUUCAUUAUAAUGCAACUUUAUACUCCCUUUAUCCCAUUUUAACUGAGGUAAAAAAAACAAUAUCUACACCCAUUAAAAAAAAUUCAAUUUUUAUAUCAAAUAAAAGUUUAGAUUCUAAAAUUUUAAUUGAUGAUAUAAAUUUUAUAAACAAUAAUUAUGUUUAUAUGUGAUUUUCUUAACAUUUCAAAAUACAUGUAAAAAGGUCAAAAGUAGUUAAAAUGGGACGGAGGGAGUAUAUUUUUAUUCAAACUCGAGUCUCCCGUGAGUGGAGCUCUUAAUAUCAUGCGAAGUUAAUAUUCUCCUAAAAUCUCAAAAUGUUAGAUAGAAUGACUUAUAAAAAAAUUGAAGAAAAGUGGAGUUUUAUUAUAAGUUUUAUCCGUGUUACAUACUUACAUUGAAUAUCUGGUAGUAACGCAAAAAAUUUGGUCUCCUCUAUGUAUUUUUGCUGGCUUGGUCGAAUCAGUUGGAUUGCUGGUAUUUGAAUAAUCUAAUUUUUUCAGAAAUAAGAAUUUAUUUCUUGAGAAAAGUACAUAAAACUACUAUACUUUUUUGGUCUCCUCUAUGUAUUGUUUUAUUUUAUAAGUCGUUUAAGGUAUUUUCACACAUAUUAAAAAACUUCAUUGUUGCAUAAAAAAGUAUUUAUUAGUCAUUUCUUUUUCAUUAUUAUCCUCAUUUAAUGUCUCUUUUCUCUCUUUUUCUAUUGACUCAUAAUAUUAAAUAAGGGUGAUAAAAGUCAUUAGAUAAUUUAAAUUAUUCUUGAAAAAAAAAAAAGAACGACCUAUAUUUAUGAAUAAUAAUAUUUUCUAAAAUGAACUAUAAAAAAACAGAUGGAGUACUGUAUAUCAAGUGGAGAAGCAAGACUAAAGUGCAGUACUCCUAAGCCCACAUUGUACGGCGGUAGUACAUUUGAUUUUAUUCGGGGAAAACCAUGUUUAUGGAUUAUCUCAUCUGAAAGACCCUAUCCAUCAUCUUCCGAUUCUCAGAGUCUUGGCCUUCCAUUCCAUGCACUGCUCUGCACGUGCUUCUGUUUGAGAUCAAAAUCACCUGCCUUAAAAAAUUUGUUUCUUUUGUAGUCUAAUCUCUGUCCCAAUCAAAUAUAUACCUUAACUGUGCACGUAUUUUGAGAUUUUAAUAAAAUUUUGUUGUAAAAUACUUUUUAAAAUUUUUUUUUUUGAAUAAAAAUUUAAACCUCAAAUUUUUAUUCAGUUAAGGAAAAUUUUAAAUAAUGUUUUGUAAUUAUACUUUAACGAAGCCUUAAAAAAUAUACCAAAAAACAGCGUAUACAAUUCAUCAGACGAGCAACCGCCAACAAGAAACACCACCGACAAUAAUAAACAAGAUUAGAAUGCAUAAUAUUCUGCAUUGGUCGAUAACUAUCAUUAUUAAUUUCUUCCUGCUGCACCACCGACAAUAAUAAACAAGAUUAGAAUGCAUAAUAUUCUGCAUUGAUCGAUAACUAUCAUUAUUAAUUUCUUCCUGCUGAGAAUUGAAACCACGCCCUCUGGCAAUUCCAAAAUGUUCCCUUUUAUAUUUAGCAAAAAAUAAUGAAUGGUGCUCCCAUUUUUUGACUAACCCAAAAACUCGAUGAUGGGCAAAAAUUGCACUAAUAUUAGAAUGAUGGUGUUUAGACAAGUUCUUCAUUUCAAAUUUUAAAUAUUGAAAUAAUUAGAAAUAUAAUAUAUAACUAUAUGACAAACACUCUAAUUCAGCAAGAAUCUUAUUUUUUGUAUCAAUUUUUCAAUAAUUUCAGGUGAAUGGUAAUUUAAUAUAUAAUCAAAUUUUAAAUAUUGUAUAGUUUUUGUUUUAUAUUUUAAUAAAUUUCAUAAUAGUGAGGAUAUGAGUACAUAUAUACAUCAACAGAAGGGUCGUUUGGGUAAACUUUAAAAAAGUGACUUCUUUCUUCAAAUAAAAAUGUGCACUAUAUUCCGUCAAAAAAAAUGUGCAGCAUUAGUAAGAGGUAAGUCUAGACUUAAAAGUGAUUAAAAUUUUUUAAGGAAAAGUAGAAGUUCUGAAAAUAAAAGUUAGAAAUUUUGGCUUCUUACAGGUGUUUCUGACUUUUUACAAAAUUAUAAGCCGACUUUCUUAGAAAAAGAAGGCGGAAGCUGGGGCAGCCAAACAAACACAUGAUAUGACUUGAUAUACAAAAAAAUUACAUUUAAAUUACGUUUAUAACACAAAUAAUCUCAAUUUAAAAAUGAUGAACAAAGAGAUAUGAGAUAUAUUGAAAAAUAAUUGAAAGCAACCCGUGUUUUGCACGGGUUAAAAAGCUAGUUCUAAUUAAAGGGAAAAAAGCCAUCGACUAAAAUUGAACACGGAUGGGAAUUAUAAGAAGCAUAAGCAAACAAACUUUUCUCUACAAUAAAAGGUGAUGGGUUGAAGUCAAGAAAACACCGAUUCAUCUUUGUACAAAGUUAAAAAUACUAACGGCUCUUUGCUUAUAGCACUACAAGAAAACUCAUUUUAAUGACAGAAAUUCUGUUAACAUGAUAAGGAUUUUCGUUGGUAAAUCACCGCCAAGGGAAUGAUAAUGAAAAUAAUUGGUUGGCAUAUAGUUGAUCGGGAAGUUCAUGCUAACGGAACAAAUUCGUUGCUAAAUUGGUUUCUUUUGAUAAAAGAUGAUGGGUUGAAGUCAAGAAAACAAACACAACACUUUUACAGAAAGUUAAAAAUACUAACCGCUCUGUGCUUAAAGAGUGGCAUAAGUAAGCAGUUCUCCGUGUGCUAGAAAUUCCUUCAUUUCUUGCUCUUCUAAGCCAACAACAGCUCUAAUACCAUCAUUCGCGGUAUCCAUCAGAGUGAUGACAUCAACCAUCGGAGUGUCCACAAGCACAGCUUUAACCGGCUUUCCCCACCCGAAAUCCAUGAUAUCAUAUAGCGGGAAAUUACACAUGCUUGUAAUAACGUAGAACCUGUACUUGUGUUUUGUGAACUCAAGAAACUCAGUCUCCAUUUCGUGUCCUUCCAUACUCUUGAUUCCUUUUAGCUGUUCCCUCUCUUUCCUCAUUCGUGCUACCAACGUUCUGUACUUUUUGUCCGCCUCUGUGGUCGCUACAAUGUGGUUUAGAAUCUGGAAAUUCCCCACAGUUGUUUCUUGCAGUGGCGGAUCAAUCAUAUGCCUCACAUUGACAGCCCGCAUUAAAACGGAUCCAUUAUGCACUCCAGCAUUAGUCCUAUCUGCCACGCUUACAAGACAUCUGUAAAGGAGUGCAGUCAGAAGCUCGUUGCGGGUGUAUUUUUGAUCUUCCACUACUCCAUCCAGCUUAUCCUCGUUAUUCACCACAAUCUUCAGUUCUGCUAGCUUUGUGUUGGGAAACACUAAUUCCUUCGUCGUCCAAUUCUUAUCUGGAAAUAUGAUGGUUUCGAUGGCAUUAAUAUCAUAGGAUAGAGGCAGCAGAGCAUUCACCAGAACGGGACAGAGAUGUAACAGUUUUCGGUGAUCACCAGAAUGGAGUGACAGAGUGGCCCAAUACCUUAAAAGUGUGCAGGUAGUCAGAGCAUCACCCAGAAGGUGAGAAAGGCAAAAAAUUGCUGACGAAAAAAUGUACAAACUAGUAAAAAAUGAAAAUCACUUCUGGUAGUAAAAAAAGUCUAAACUAGAACCUAGUUCAGCCCAAUAUUUUAGCAUUAGUUUUAACUGCAAAAAUCACUAAUUUGUACAUUAUUAAUGAUUAAUUUUUAAAUAGAAAUAUCACAAAUAAAUAAAUAAAUAAAUAUAAUUAAAAAAUUAAAAAAAUCAUCAAUUUUCACCAAAAAGUCGUAUUUUCCCAACUAGUUCUACCAUGGAACCAUAUAUAUUUGUCCAAAGUGAUUUACUGUUCAAUAUCAAGUCUAAAAAAAUACACAUAAAACACUACCUUAAAAGUGUGCAGGUAGUAAGAGCAUCCCCAAGAAGGUGAGAAAUGCUAACUGCUACAGCCAUCCCUCCACAAUCGAAACGGUUGAGUUGCACAUACAUUAUAUUACCCGAAUGCUUCUCAGAAAACUGAUUCCGAAUUGUGCAAGGUGGAAACAGAUGGCCUAAUCCGUCUUCUUCCUUGACUGCAGCUCUAUCCUGAACCUCCGACAUAUUGCAUCCGAUUUGAGCCUCGAUAAAUUGAACGCCUUCAUCGUUACAAUCGACGUACGAUCCAGAGCAUAUCCUUCCUGCAAAUGGAUAGUACUUGGACAGUGUCUCCGACAAAGACUUCUUCAGUAGAUCUGAUGCAUUAUCAGGGACCCGUUCACGAAUGGGAUCAGAGUUGUUUUUGGGAUAGAAAAAAAUCAGUGGAAUAUAAAAAUUUGGAACCAUGCGAUCAUGUAAAGGAAUAUUGUAUCGUUUGAGGUUCGAGGGAGUUGGAGAAGCUGGUUUAAUGCUGCAGGAAGAUCUUGAGAUUACAUGCAGCUGCCUUCUAAAUACUAAUGACAACCUCAUCAAUCCUUUAAACGUCAUUUUUAACUUGCCAAACCAAACUUUGAUGUGUAUAUCAGAUAUGAGCUGGUUUAAUUGGGGUAUUUAUACAGAUUUAUAAGAGAAGAUUACAGCCCAUGCCAAAAGACUUGGCGGUUGAAGCUGGUGAGAUGAUAUAACUCCUGAUUAACCGGAAAUCAGGGAUUAAUCGUAAGGAUUAAUCAGAGUGAAAAUCGGUUUUAUUUUGAAUAUUAAAAUAUUAUUUUUAAUAUUUAUUUAUUACUAUAUUAAUUAUUUAAUAAUAAAUAUAUUUAAUAUAUCAUAAAUUUUAUAAUUGUUCAUAUUUAAAGUAAAUAAGUAGUAUUCAAUUUUAAUAAUUUAUUAUAUAUAUAUACUUCGCUUGAGAAAAAUUUAUACGGAUUAAUCGAAUUUUAAAAAUCGAAUCAAUCGGCCAUCUUGCAGGAGAUUAAUUGGGAAUUCAUCGAUAAAAUCAAUAAUUUUUAAAACACUGCCGGCAACUGUAAGUAUAAAAAAUAGGAAUAAACAAAGAGCACUGGGAACCACAUGCAAGUGAUUGUUUACUGCUGGUUCUACCGGUCUCUGCCAAAAACUCUGAUAAAUACCAGACAAAACUACCAGUCUCCCUUGCAUAAAAUAUCUAAGCUACAUAGGAAUCUUUUUAUGUCUAUGCUACAAGACAUUUUUUAUGACUUGGAUCCCAUUUCAUUUGUGGCAUUGCAGCAGUUCAUUCUUUAUUUCCUGAAUUUUCUCUAUAAUCUUUACCUCAUGCCUCUUAAUUUUUAUUCAAGAUAAUUUUUUUUGCAAAUUACUGUGGUUCUGCUUUUCUUAUCUUUUCUUCUUUUGGCUUUGCUGGUACUUUUCCUUUGCCAGUUUAAUUUUACCUUCAACUUUGAGAAAUAAAUGUAUUUAGUGAUUUCACUGAUGAUAAUGUUAAGCAAUAGGGUUCAAAAUGCUUUCAUUAUAAUGCUACUUUAUUUAUUUAUAUUCAAACUCGAGUCUCCAGCAAGGGGAGCUCUUAAUACCAUGUGAAGUUAAUAUUCUCCUAAAAUCUCAAUAUGUUAGAAAGAGUAAUUUUUUAUUAAAAAAAUUGAAGAAAAGUAGAGUUUUAUUAUAAAUUUUAUACGUGUUACAUUGAAUAUUUAAAAGUAAAGCAAAAAAUUUGGUCUCCGCUAUGUAUAUUUGCUGGCUUCGUCGAAUCAGUUGGAUCGCUGGUAUUGGUGAGAGCGUGAGACAUUAAAGGGAGAUGGGCUGAUCAGAUCAGCUUGGUUGAUAAUGUCUAAAUCCAAUUCCUUAACAAGGAAUUGAUUUUACUCAUGAAAAAAGAGUGAUUAAAAAAAAAGUUUGCAGAAAGUCAAGACUCAAACCCCAUUCUUAUCAAGUCUUCCACUACUCUAUGCACAAUUCAAAAUACACAAAGACCAACCAAAAAGUUCUUGGAAGUAAUCAAAUAAAUGAUACUCUCCAAGUUCUUGUUCUCAAAUCAAACAAGUUUUAUGGUCUUAUAAACACGAGUUCCAAGAUUGUACACCCAUUUCCUAGCUUGACUGCUUGAGAAUCAUUGAUCUUUCGUACAAUGAGUUUUCAGGUGCACUGCCAGAAGAAUAUUUCAGAAACUUUAAGGCUAUGAUGAAUGCGGAAGUGAAUAAGAUAUAUCGUAGCUAUAUGGAGCAAGAUUAUUACACUGAUUCCACAGCUCUAGUGAUUAAAGGCAUGGAAAUUAAUUUAAAAAGAAUAUUGACUGUGUUCACAACUAUUGAUGUAUCAAAAAACAAUUUUGAUGGGGAGAUAGCUGAAUACUUUGGAAAUCUGGUAUCACUCAGAUUUCUUAAUCUUUCUCACAAUUAUCUCACAGGCCAUAUACCACGCUCGAUUGGAAAAUUGACUGUGCUGGAGUCACUAGGCCUCUCAUCCAACCAACUUGAAGGAGAAAUUCCUCAGCAGCUCACUAGUGUAUAUUCACUUGCAGUUCUCAAUCUGUCUUGCAACCAACUUAGAGGACGUAUUCCAGAAGGGUGGCAAUUCGAUACGUUUGAAAACAGCAGCUACGCUGGUAACUUUGGGCUGUGCGGACAUCCCUUGUCGAACAAGUGUGAAUCUUAUGUUAGGACACAAAAAGAAGACGAAGAAGAUGAGGAUGAAUGUCACUUUUUCUGUGGUUUUACUUGGGAAGCAGUGGUGAUUGGAUAUGGGUGUGGAGUGGUGCCUGCAUUUAUCACUGGGUUACUGAUGUUGCUGGCACGGAAGCCAAAAUGGUUCGAUGGAAUCAUUGGCAGGGAAUUGGGGCUCAAGAUCAGGAGGAUGGAGAUUAGAAUGCGAUACUAAAGGUUUGCUGUAAUCUGUAUCCCAUUCCCAGGUCUUGAAUAUUCUGUAAUAAUAUAGUAAUAUGUGCUCUCAUAUAAUUCUAUAUUUGCAGAUUGGAGAGGCAUGAACAUUUUGGCAUGUAAGUUGAUGGGACAAGCAGGUUUCAGAUUCAUUGGAAUCAACCACUACUUCAGCUGUUUUGCAUCUUUUGUGAUUUUAAAUUUUACAUUUUACAAUAAAAGUAAAAAAGAUACAAGCUCCAUGGACAAGUUUUGUAUUGUGUAGUUCCAGCCUCAGGCUGAUGGUUUAUAAUGUACAAUUUACAAUAUAUCACAAUUUGUAAUAUACAGUACCAGAUGAUUUUAUGGCCAAAUUAUCCUUAAUCGCUUUCAUGAACUAAUGGAAAUUUGUAAAAGCGGGUCACAUUUGCAGUGAUGCCGCUAUUUUUCCUGAAUAUUCCUAGUUCUGAAGAUUGUCUAAAUCAUGUUAGUAGCUGCCAUCAGUGAAUGCAUUCAACGGCUUACUGAAACUGGUAGAGAUACUAAAUUCACAAGUUAUUGAUAGAAUAGAAGAUGACAGAGUGUCCAUGCGUCAGUUUAAGGAUCGAGAUGUGUAGCCGUGACUUGUAUUUUAAAAUUGCACAAGAUGCUUUACAAUGGUAGCAGAGGGCUGCGGAUUUAUUGGGUUAGUUGGAAGCACUCAAGUCGAAUUGGUUGUAGCAGAGCAAGAAGCUGAGCACGACCAUAAGAAUUUGAACUCUGAGGCUAAUUUGACUCUACUUGUAAGCCUUCCACUAGACAGCAAGGUUAGGAGAAAGAUUGAGUCGAUGUAAGCCUUCCUCUGACGCCUGUGACAGAUCAAUGAGGCAUGAAAGUUGGGAACAGGGGACGAUUGGCGUAUUGGAAUGGAAGUGGAAAACUUCUUCAGAGCCUGAUGCUCUCGGAGAUACAAUCUAAUGAAAAAGCGUAAUGAUGAUCAUGACUCCGCCCUUGCUCUAAAUCAGUAAGAUCAACCUCUCUACACAAUUCACUAAUACCACCUCUUUAUAACAUUCUCACUCCUAGGUGAUGAAUAAAGUAUCAAGAAACAUAUUUUGUAUAAUGAAUUAUAUUUUUUAUUAUAUUCCUUUUUUUAAAAUAUAUUGCGUAUUACACUGUUUAUUAAUUCUAUUUGAAGCAAUUAAUUAAUUUUUAGCCGUAAUUUAACUUUCAAGGUAGCAUUAUCAGCAUGAGGAAUAGGCAGAGCUUCCAGAUGCUCUCUUCUGAUAGAUAUCAUUCAGCACUUGCUCUGAGUUUGUUGAUCAACCACGCGAUGUUGUAGGCAGCUCCUAUCUUAUCUGCAAUCAAGUUAAUGAACCACUACCUCAGUUGUUAAGCAUCUUUCAACAUUUCACAUUUUUGAGCAUUUAAUUAAUUAGUCAUCAGUCUUGUAUUUAGCUUGAUCGAACAUAAUUGUUCUCUUCAAUUUCUUUGCCUACUUGUCGACGUGUUUAUGUAGCGUGUCUCUACUCUGUAGCUUACACAUCAUUGAUUCAUGUUAUUUUCCCCUUAGGAACUUGAGAGACAUUUGGCAUCAAAAGAAGCUUCUCUCCCGCAAGAACCAUUUUCCCCUUAUGAACAUUUGACAUUUUGGUGUUGCUGAGAGCGCAGCGACUUUUGAUGAACUCGGCCUGUCUGGCAGACAGGAGGCCUUGUUUCUGGAGUUAAUAUAGCGGAUCUCGAAGAGUUUACCCAGAUGGACCAACUUUGUUUGUUAGUUGGAUGUAAAAGUUGUUUAGAGACGGGUAUUUUGUCGAAGUUUGUAUCUAUUGGGUAUUUCGUCUUUUAGUCAGACUAUGGCUCAUACAGUUUCAUACAGUUUGAAGUUGAUAUCAAAUCUUAGAUUAAAUUACUGAACAUUGUUUCUUGAAUUCGAUAUCGAAUUUUAAACGAAAAUAUGUUCAGUUCUAAUUUAAAAGUUAUGCAAAUUACAUUAAUAAUAUGUGGCCCUGUUUGUUUACCAAAAGCAGAAGCUGCUUCUGGCUUCUGCUUUUCUUGACCCGUUUGUGUAAAGAAGCAGAAGCACUUUUAAUAAACUGAGAAUCCUAACUUCUCUCUCACAGCUUCGGCUUCUUUUCCAAACACUUUAUUCACUUAUUUACUUCUCACUUCUGCUCCACUUCUCUAGUUUAAGCAAGAAGUCACUUCUUUUAAGCUUGCCCAAACGGCCCCAUAAUCUAUUUUGAGUCUCUUGGUCUUCGGUCUUCUAUUGCAGCAUAUCAUGCACAUCUCAAAUGAUUGAAAAUGAACUCUCUCCAAAAGACAAGGGGGUCUGUUGAAGUAGACCUGGAAUUGAUUUUACUUGAAGAAACAAUAAUAGGUCACCUUUUAAAGUUUUGGUCUUUGUCUUUUAUCUCUUAAAGUCUUUGUCGUUUACAUCUCAUACAAUUUGCUAUCGUAUUUAACACUUCACACAAUUCCAUGCUAUCGUAUUGAACACUUCACACAAUUCCAUAAUAUUGAAGAUUUUUGGCUUGAAAUAUUCUAGAGAAUAAGGUUGUACAUAAAAUUCAAUAAUUUAUUUCCUUUCCUUCAAUAUUACAACUCAUAUAUUUGUUGCCAAUGACUCAUUCAAUUCGCAUCAAUUAUUAUCAUCUUCACUUUAUCAAAGAGUCUUGCUCUUCGUCCUUUACAUGCUUUUAUUACGAUCCCCAUGUGCUUUGAAAAUACUUGUGUUAUAGUCCACAUCAAUCAAUACUCCUUAUUAAUAAGCGAAACCACAUUUCAGUGGAACAUCGGUACUAAAAGUACCAAAUUUGAUCAUCUUAUAUCAUAUUUAAUUAUUAUUAUUAUUAUACUCCUAUUAAAAGUAUUAUAUUAUCCUUAGGAGAUUUAUAUUGGUCAGGAAUUUAUAAUAUUUUAAGAUAUUAUAAUUAAAGACGACUUCUAUAAUUAUUAGGAUUUUAUAAUUAAUAUAAACUUCUUACUUAAUAAUGAUAAUCAUUAAACUAUUUUGAAAAAAUGUCGUAUUGGUUAGAAUUUUAUAAUUUUAUUAUAUUAUAAUGAAAAGACUUUCAUAUUUAUUAUGAUUUUAUAAGUAAAUACUUUAAUAUUGGUUAGGAUUUUAUAAUUAUCUUGAUAUUGAUUAGAAUUUUAUAAUUAAAGACUUCAAUGUUAUACUAUUAAAAAAAGAUUUCUAACGUUGUUAGGAUUUUGGAAUGCAACAGUUAUACCACCAAUAAAAUUAUUUAUUUUAAAUUCUUUAAACUCAAAUAAUUUAAUUUAUGAAACAACUCUGUAAAACUCCUAUCAUAUUUCAGCAUUCAAAUAAAUAAAGAUUUAUAUUGAUAUUACUUUUUAUUAAUAUGCCAUAUUUUUCUUUAGUGGAAGAACAUGAGUACCAAAUACCGAAUUAUCAAAAUUUGGUUAAUAUCAUGUAAUUUUAACAUUGUCGUACUCUUCACAAUAUAAUAAUAUUAUUAUAAUAACGGAAAGGGGGUGGUAGCACUAUCAUGAUAAAUGCAAAUUCCAAUGAGAAUAAAAUUACUGUGAAAAUUUUAUAAAUAAAUUAAUUUUAAAUUUAUUUAAUUUAUAAUCUCUAUUAUAGUUUUAUAUUAAUUUGAAAAAUAUCUAUUAAUAUUGAAUAUACAAGAACUUCAAUUAGUGUUACACUUAAUAAUAUUUAUUAGACGUCUAAAAUAACUAUGAACUAAAAAAAUUAAGUUUUAUUAAAAAUGGUUGAAUUUUUUUUCCAUCUAUUUAGAAUAAAAACAACAUAAUAAUUUUAUUAAAAUGAAACUUACCAUUUUAAAAUAAAUUCAUAUAAUAACAUAUAUCCUGAGAAUGUUUAUUUUGAAAAAUAAAACUUAAACAUAAUUAAAUAUUAAUAUGUUAAUGCAUAAUAAGUUUUGUAUCUCAACAAUAAUAAUUUAAAUAACUAUAUCAAAAAUAUUAUAAUUCCAAUAAAUAAUAAACUUAAAAAAUUUAUAUAAUCCCGUGCUUGGCACNCAAAAAUAUUAUAAUUCCAAUAAAUAAUAAACUUAAAAAAUUUAUAUAAUCCCGUGCUUGGCACGGGUUAUAGACUAGUAUUGAUAAAUAGACAAAUUACAAUAUUUAGUUCAUUAAUGAAGAGAUAAGACAUUCAUGUGUAUGUAUUUGAAAAAUAAAAUAUUAUGAAGCUAAAUGAAUAAACACUUCUGAAAAGUAAAACCCGUUUCUGGUCCAUUUUGUAGCUUGAAGAAAUGAAGCAGAAGUCAAGAUUUCCUUGAAGAAACAAAAUUUUAUAAAAGUUAAAAACAAUUCGAUAAUUAUUGUCUUUUUAAAAAACGGAGCACGCAACACUCUUUUAUAUCAUAUUUCAAUUCUUAGAGUCUUCCUUCUACUACUCCAAAAGUGGUUCUAUUAUAGGCCACAUAUUAAUAGAUCGAUACAAAUUUAUUAAAAAGAUCCUUAUUUUCAACAAUCAAUAUCAGUUUGACUACAAAUUUAUCUGAAAUGACCCUUGUUAAUGGACUCUAGCUUAUAGGGUCAAACUUGGCUAUACAUGCCUCGGAGAAAAUUCACCAGUUCGUAGAAGAGACCUUUCUGCUAUCAACUCUAUGAAAAAUGCAGCACUUAUCAUCUAAAUAAAAAUCAGUAAGACUAUCUUAGAUUCUCUGAAGUGUUUAUAUUGCAGCCGCUUGUAUUGAAUACACACAUAAAUAACCACACAUAAUCAGCAAGGUUCGAAUUUUUUUGGUUUAACCAUAUCACCAACAUGAAGAAAAGACUUUCAAGCGUCAUAAUAGCUAAGAGCUUUUAUUUUCAGGAUAACCCCGGUCUAGAUUAUUAUAAAAAACUUGUUUAUAUGGAGACAUAAUAAAGGUCCCAGAAUUUUUUACUCUUCAAGAUUUCCGUUUCUAGCCAAAUUUUUUGACCAUAAAUAAUAUAUUGGUUUUACCUGAAAACAAAAUUUAAAGAAAAUUCAAAUUUUUUUAUUACUUCUUUUCUUUUAUUAUUACUUCUUUUCUUUUAUUUUGAAAUUGCAAAACAGCUCAAAGUAGUUCUAAAAGAAUCAUUCUCCCCGCUAGAAUCAGUUACAAUUAAGGUUGACAAGAUGUUUUAGCUGCGAGUUCUUCAAAUUAUUGCUCGUAAGGUCCACGACAGCUUAGAUAGUCACCAAAACUUUGGCCUGUGGAUUAAGUUGAUGAAAUCUAGUGUAUUAGAAUCAAUGACAGCACUAUUUUAUGGGAUUGAUGCUCACUCUUCAUAUUAUGUGUUUUUCUAAUGUGUGUGUCCAAAUACACACAAUAAACACUAAAUUUGAUAAAAAAUCGUAAUAUUAGUCAUUCCGCUCAUAAAUUUCAAGUGGAGAAGAAAGAGUUUCUCAAAAAAAAGUGGAGAAGAAAGAGCAUCGUGAUUGUCAUUGUACCCUUAAAAUUUGUUCGAUUAGGUUUUUUACAUAGUUUGCGCGUGGUCAUCUGGGUAUGCCUUCAUUAUAUUAAGCCAAUCUAGUAAUUCCAUAUUAAACAAGUUUAAAAUUUUCAAAUUUUGAUCUUAAUAAAAUUGAAAAAAUAGUGAACUUUUUCUUAUUUAUGAUAUUAACAAAUCUCUUACUUUUUUAUUACUGUAUUCAACUAAAUAUUUUUUACAAACCCUCAUAAAUGCAUCACAUCAGUUAUGAAAUUUAAAACAAAUAUAUCCAAUUUCUUCGAGAAAGAUGGUUGUAUAAUUUUUAAUUAAAAAAUUUAAUUAUUUUUAUUUUUAACAUAAUUUACAACUAAAAAAAUAUUAUAUGUUCACUGCUUUGUAAUAUAAUUAAAUAUAUCUUAAAUACAGUUUUUCCUAUAUAUAUGCUAACCUCGAGAGACGUUGAAGAUCAUCCCAAACAAAAUUUGAAAGGGAAAAUGAAAAUGAGGAAUUGCAACCUCUGUUUUUUCACCAUCAGUAUGAUGCUCAUCUUCUUGCAGUUGCAGCACCACCUGGUGGCUUGUUCAUUAAGCCCCCACUUGCAGAAACUUGCCUUGUUCCACUUUAACCAAACCUUCACAAUCACUCCUGGGGAUUGCGAGUAUUAUUCCUACAAAGACGAAGAAUUUUACGAAAUUCCUUCACGGGCAAAGACAAAGAACUGGAGCAUGAGUUCUGAUCACUGCACAUGGGAUGGAGUUAGCUGCGACGACAAGACGGGGGACGUAAUUGGACUGGAUUUAACUUGCGGUCAGCUGGUAGGAGCCAUACACUCAAACAGCACUCUUUUCCAACUCUCUCAUCUUCGCUUCCUCGACCUUUCUUACAAUGACUUUUCCCUCUCCGAUCAGUUCCCUCAGGAAUUUGGCUUCUUUGCAAAAGGAUUGACGCAUCUCAACCUCUCUCGUACUGGAUUAUCAGGGAGAGUUACCUCAGGAAUCUCUCAUUUGCAUAAACUGGUCUCACUUGAUCUCAGUGAGAACUUUGAAGCUGAACUUGAAGCAGAAGUGUUUAAAUCACUAUUGCAGAAUUUAACGCAUCUCAGAGUGCUUAAUCUUCAUGAAGUUAACAUCCCAUCUGUUUUGCCGGUGAAUAUCUCUACUUCUCUAAGAGUUCUUCAAUUGUCGUAUACUCAUAUACACGGAGUAGUACCGCAAGAAGUUUUCCACCUUCCCAACUUGGAAUUACUUGAUUUAUCAAAUAAUCACGACCUGAGAGCUACAUUAUCCAAAGUUAAGUGGGGAAGUAAAGCUACUCUCCAAUACCUUCAUCUUUCAUACAUCAACAUAGAUGGAGGUAUACCUGACUCAAUAGGCUUUUUGGAGUCAUUAGUCAGUUUAGAUCUGCUCGACUGUAAUUUGUCUGGGACGAUGCCAAGAUCCAUUGGACACCUCGUUCAACUUACUCACUUGGACCUCUCUUUUAAUAAUCUCAAUGGCCCAAUUCUAACUUUUUUUACAAACCUUACUGACUUAAGAUAUAUGUCCCUUGGGCUUAACAAUUUUACUGGUCCGUUUCCCUCUUUUCUUGCCCACUCUAGUAAACUAGUUGAGUUGUAUCUUUAUGGUAAUAGGUUUACUGGAUCCGUACCUCGUUCGUUGUUUCACCAUCCAUCGUUAGAGUUCUUGAAUUUGGCAUAUAAUGCAUUCACAGGUCAACUCCAUGAAUUUGAUUCUUCUCGAUCUCGGCUGCAAUCUUUUUCUUGUUCCAGCAAUUUACUCUAUGGAUCCAUUCCUCAUUCAUUUUCUCAACUUGUGAAUCUCACUGAACUAGACUUUUCAUCAAACAGUUUCAGCGGGGUUUUGGAUUUGGAAAUGUUUUCAGGCCUCGGAUUUCUAAAACGUCUUGAUCUUUCUCAUAACAGUCUUUCAGUGAGAAGUACAAUUACGGACACUCUCCCUCCCAAUCUUUACCACUUGGACUUGUCAUCAUGUAACAUGAAAGAGUUUCCUCACUUUUCAAGAGAUGCACACAUCUUCCUGGAUUUUGUAGACCUAUCAAACAAUGAAAUUGAAGGGGAAAUUCCACACUGGAUUGGGUCGAUAGGGAGGUACUCUGUCUACUAUCACAUCCCCUAUCUGAAUCUUUCUCACAACAAACUAAUAGGCGGUCUUGAGCAAUUGCCUUGGGGUCAUAUUAGGUUUCUUGAUCUCCAAUACAAUAAGCUGAAUGGAUCAUUGCCCACCUUGAUGUGUAAUUCCAGCUCUCUUUAUAUUCUAAAUCUCUCUCACAACAAUUUGAGUGGUGUACUACCCAGUUGUCCUACAAAUUUGACUCGUCUUUCAGUGUUGGAUCUGCGGAGGAAUAAAAUUCAGGGAAACAUUCCAGCAACCUUGUCAAAUUUCCGUAACCUGGAAACUAUUAAUUUGAAUGGAAACCGAUUACAAGGAAGCAUUCCUUCUUCUUUUGCUGAAUUUGAUUCUUUAGCCAUUCUUGAUCUUGGAAAUAAUAAGAUAAAUGAUACAUUCCCCCGGUGUUUGGAAGCUCUUCCAAAUCUUCAAGUUCUUGUUCUCAAAUCAAACAAGUUUUAUGGUCUUAUAAACACUAGUUCUAAGAUUGUAUACCCAUUUCCUAGAUUGAGAAUCAUUGAUCUGUCGGACAAUGAGUUUUCCGGUCCACUGCCAGCGAAAUACUUCAGAAACUUCAAGGCUAUGAUGAAUAGUGAUGUAAGCAAAAUAGAUCGCAGUUAUAUGAAUUAUAGUUCCUAUUACAGUGAUUCCACGACUCUGGUGAUUAAAGGAGUAGACAUGGAGUUGGUAAAGAUAUUAACUAUUUUUACAACCAUGGAUGUCUCAAGGAACCAUUUUGAAGGGGAGAUUGUAGAAUCAAUUGGAAAUCUGGUGUCACUUAGACUUCUCAAUUUAUCUCACAAUCAUCUCAGAGGCCGCAUACCAUUCAUGAUUGGAAAUUUGUCAAUGCUGGAAUCACUAGACCUCUCAUUCAACCAACUUGAAGGAGAAAUUCCGCAACAGCUCACCAGUAUAUAUACACUUGAACGUCUUAAUCUGUCAUGCAACCAACUCAGUGGUCGUAUUCCACAAGGUUCUCAGUUUAAUACAUUUGAUAAUGAUAGCUAUGCUGGUAACUUGGGGCUGUGUGGAAAUCCAUUGUCCAAAAAGUGUGAACCUGAUAUUGUGGAGAAAGAAAGUGACGAAGAUGAGGAUGAUGAUUACUUCUUUAGUGGAUUUACUUGGGAAGCGGUGGUGAUUGGAUAUGGGUGUGGAGUGGUGCCUGCAUUUAUCACUGGCUACCUGAUGUUGUUGGCACGGAAACCAAAAUGGUUUGCUGGAAUCAUUGGCAGGGAAUUGGGCCUGAAGAUCAGGAGGAUGGAGAUUAGAAUGCGAUAACUAAAGGUUUGCUGUAAUCUAUAUCCCAUUUGUAGGUCUUCAAUAUUCAGUAAUAAUAUAGUAAUAUCUGCUAUCAUAUAAUUCUAUAUUUGCAGAUUGGAGAGGCAUGAACAUUUUGGCAUGUAAGUUGAUGGGACAAGCAGGAUUCAGAUGCACAUGAAUCAACUACUUCGGUGUUGUAGGCAGCUAGGUUAAUAAACCACUACUUGAGCUGUUAAGCAUCUUUGGUCAUUUUAAAUAUAAAUUGUACAAUAAAAGAUACUUACUCUGCACAUAUUCUAAGUUCCAUAUACAAGUUCUGUAUUGUUUAGUUACUCUGCACAAACUCUAAGUUAGUUUCAACCACUGGGGUGUAAGCAGCCAAGUUAAUAAACCAGCAGUUUCUGUAGCUUUCACAACGUUGCUUCAUAUUAUUUUCCCCCUUGUUAGAUGAGCAAUAUAUUUGUGGAAUGGAUGUACCUGAAUUUGGUAUCCGAAGCUUAGUUAUAGAAAUUGUAGAUCAGCUAGUUUGCAACUUACUGGAAUGCUUUCCAUUGGACUUGAUUUACUCGUAGAGAAGCAGCACGCAAUGUUAAGGAAGGCCUGAUACAUAAUGUAUUUAAGAUAAUGUUUUGCAUCAAUUAUUACAAAAAGCUACUACUUUAAAUUGAUGAACAUUUACUAUAGCAGUACUGUGGUAUUAAAGUGAGUACUAAUAUUAGUGGCGGAGGCAGAACACAAUGUUAGGGGGGCACUUUUUAAUUUUUAACAUUCUAGGGGCAAUUUUUAACAUUCCAGGGGACACAAAAAAUAAUAUUUUGUAGAUUAAUAUUAUCAAAUAGAGUUAAGUUCUAUGGAGUACAUAAAAACAUUAGAGUAUUGGAGUACAAAUCAUAAUUUUUUUUAGUUUGAUUCUAUAUAAUAUCUUUGAAUAUCCAAAUUUUGAUAUAAUCUAUCAUUUAUAAGUUGUGUUGCACAUAAUUGUCAAUUAAUCAUUAAUAUCUUUCAACUUUAACAAAGAUUAAGAUUAUUGUUCUGCUUAUUAGUUAUAUUGCAGAACAUAGAGUCCUAUGAUUUAUAAAAGUAAUUAUUCUACCAUUUGAUCAUGAUGUUUAUGUUGCAGAACAUAAUGUGCAGGUUGUCAAAUAUUUACAAAUAUUAUUGGACAAAAAAAUUGAAAUUUAGAUGACUAAAUUACAUUUUAUCAAACUUUGUACUCCAAUACUCCAAUUUUUUUUUGUACUCCAUAGAACUUAACUCUUAUCAAAUAUAUGGAUCUUAUAUAAAAACAUACACAUUUUUCUGAAACUUAUGAGGGCAUGGGCACCCAGAGGCCCCCAUGUCCCUCCGCCUCUGCUAAUAUAAGAUGUUAGUCGAGUUCGAAGAAGUUUUGGAAUUCUUUUUAUUGAGAGUUUUUGCAAAACGUGGUUAGGAAAUUGAGAAUUUUGAGUUUUAAAAUUAGCUGUAAAAAAUAAUCGGUCAAUUGUAUUAGAUAUUACAUGCAUUUGAGUUUUAAAAUUAGGUGUAAAAAAUAAUGGGUCAACUGCAACAGAAAUGAAUUGGUUUGGUUUCACCCGGAAGAGUUCUGCACUUCACACUCUAGAUUCCAGAAAUAAAAAAAUUCAAAUAUAAAAUGUCAAAUAUUUUAGUUUAUACUCCCUCCGUCCAUUUUAGAUUUUUAGUUGUCACUGCCGGUCAAAUUGACCAAAAUUUGACUAAAAUUUAUUAAUAUUUUAUUAAUUGAAAAAAUAAAAAAAUUAUGUUACCACAAAUUACUUUCAAUCUACAUGAAAUUUUCAAUUUUUUAAAAUAAUGAAGAAGUAACUUGUAAUCUUUGAUCAAAAAUUAGUUAAUUUGACAUAAAAAAAAAAUUGUUACAACUAAAAUGGACCAAGGAAGUACAUAAGAUUUGCUAGUUACCUGCUUACCUUCACUCCUUAUGUCUUAAGCCACUCUUUAUUAUUUUUGAUUACAUAAUAAAUAUGUUUAAACUUUUAACUUUUUAUAUUUAAUAAAUUUAUAUAAUUUAAUUAUUAAAUUUUUUGAUUUGUAUUAAGUUUAAUUUAUAGAUACAUUUAUAUCAAAAUUACUAAAAUCAAUCAAAAUUUUAAUAUUUUGAUUCAGUAACCAGAAUAUAAAUAUAUUUAACUUUUGAAAUGAUAUAUAAAUAGUUUAUGAUUAAAAAAAAUUAAUAAGUAACUUGCACAAUUUCUCUUAAUUACAGUAAUAAAUCUCUUAUUAGUACUUUCAACUAAAUAUUUCUCCCAAACACUUAUAAUUUAUGUCCAAUUUUCAUAUUAUUUCUUUUAGAAAGAUUGUUGUAUUAUUUUAAAUUUUAGUAAUUAAAUCAGUUUUAUUUUUAUGAAUUCCAAAUUUAAAAACCUUAAUAUUUUUGUCACGCUACUUCUUAUUUGUAAUACAAAUUAUUUCUAGAUAAAAUUAAUAUAUUAAUAAAUAUAGUGUAAUUAACUACAUAUAAUACAUUGAAAUUAAAUAAAUAUGCUCUGUACAUUUUUUUCACAUGCAAAAAACUGCACUGUUUCGGUUUAAGCAAAGCUUGAUAAUCAGGACUCCUAGCUGGAAUGGCGAGUAUUAUUCCUACGAAGAAGAUGAUGUUCAUGAUAUCCCUUCACCCCCAAAGACAAUGAAUUGGAGCAUGAAUUCUGAUUACUGUGCAUGUGGGAUGGAGUUAGCUGCGACGAGAAUACAGGGGACCUAACCGGACUGGAUUUAAGCUGCAGUCAUCUGGUGCAUUGGAAUGAAAUUAUAGAACUUCUUCAGAGCCUGAUGCUCUCGAGGAUGCAGUAAUGAACAAGCCUAAUGAUGAUCAUGAGUCAUAACUCCGUCCUCGAGAGCCUGAUGCUCUCGAGGAUGCACUAAUGAACAAGCCUAAUGAUGAUCAUGAGUCAUAACUCCGUCCUUGAAUAAAGUGUCAUGAAACAUAUUUUGUAUUACAUUUUGUAUUAUUGGAAACUUGAUUUGAAACCAAAAUAGUUUGGUGGAAUCAUUGCCAGGGUAUUGGGUCUGAAGAUCGAGGAUGGAGAAUAAAUUGAUUUUGUUCAAAUAUUUAACACAAGCCCAUCAUCAUUAUCCAACACAAGCCCGGUCCAGUAUAGAGUUCUGGCAACUCCAUUGUUGAACACUUCUGUUGAAGUUGGCCUGUCUGGCAGACAAGAGGCCCUGUUUUAGAGGUGAUAUAUGCGCACAGGUAAAAAAUGUAUAUUUCUUCCAAUAGAUUACAUCUCUUUUCUUCAAAAUUUAUUGUAGUUUCAAAAAGUAGCAUUUGAGAACUCAUUCUAUUCCCCUUUUAAAUACUUGGUCUUGGUCAAUACAAACACGAUUAAGACCGGUGUCAAUAUCCCUCAUAAUUUUUCCACUCCUUUGAAUGGCAUUCUACAAUCCACAUAUCAGACUCAUAAAUAAUUAGUUGAAAUCAUUACCAUAGUCCAUAGCGAAAAGACUUUCACCAUUGAACCAUUGCAUAGAUAAUUGAAGAAAGAAACUUCAACAUAUUUGCAUAUCUUUAUCUAUCUUUUUUUCUAGUCAUCAACAGGCACAAGCUGUUGAUUUUUAUAUGUUCUUAAUUGGUAUAAGCAUUUAAGGUGAGUGUUGAUAUUUCUCACUAAUCUUCUUCUGCUCUAAGUGACAUAUUAUUACAAUCCACAAAUUAGUAGACAGACUAAUAUGGUUAGUUGAGACCAUCAAUCUGGAGAACAGACUAAUACAUGUGUAGUAAUCUGAUCAUCAUUUAUUUGAUUACAAUAGAAAUUCGGCUUUGUUUAGUUCCAUCCUCGGGCUCUUCAUUUCUAAACAUAUUUGCUGAUACUUUUUAUUGUACAAUUUAGAAUAUUCCAUAAAAUUUUAUAUUCGGUGCUAGAUGAAUUUAUGUCUUGUUUUCAUUCCAUUCAUGAACUAAUGAAAAUUUUAAAAUUGGGUCAUAUUAGGCAGUGAUGCCACCUUUCUGGACCUGCAUUUCAUGACCACAAACUCCUAUUGUGCCAAAAAAUUCCAGCUGUUUCGUGAGAUUUUUCUACGUGCUCUUUUGUUCGGACUUGUUUGCUGAAUCCCACAAUAGACAAUAUUGAUGUUAACAACUCUUGCGUCAGUUACUAGACUCGUUGUUAGUAGCCCAUUCUUUACGGCAGACGUGGAAUUUACUUGAAGAAAUGAAGGUGUAAGAACAGGGGCGGAUCCAGCCUUCGCAUCUCACCCGGGCUGAAAGCCUGAAACACUUAUAACCUUGAAGGUAUACAGUGGAGGUGAAGAGGGGAAAAAAAUAUAUAUGGUACUGACAGUGACAUGGAAAUAUGGAUAUUAUUCUUUUAACCUGCUGCAGGGACUAUCAGCUGGUAAAUUCAUGUCAAAUCAAUUUUUUUGACNGCCGAGACGAGUCGGCGAGACGGCCGAGACGAGUCGUCGACGUGCGAGACGAGUUGGCGCGAGACGGGCGAAGCGAGACAUCUCCGAGACGAGUCAUGCGUGCGUGCCGAUACGUACGAGCCGAGACGAGGCGUCCACGUUUUCUCAAACCCAGGCUCGUGAUCGCCUCGUCUAUUUNACUAUAACUAAUAAUUCAUGUCAAAAUCAAGAUUAUAAAAAUUAAUAAUAUGACUACAAAAAUAAAAUAUAAACGUAAGGUAAUAACAUAUGGUAAACCUGAAUAUAUUUUAGUAACAAUUGUUUUGACAUAGUUAGAUUAAGGGAUUAAAUUAUUAUAUAAAAUAAUAAAAGUAGCUAUAUAUUAAAAAAAUAAAGCUAUAUUUAUAUAAUUAGUUUAAACACGUCAAAAGGUCAAAAAGCAAGAUUAAACCGCUUAGCUUAUAUAAACACCAUGACCGACUGUUUGACCUAAACUAAACAAAUUUAUAUUUAAAAUACAAAAUUACAUGAAUAAAACCGAAAUAGGGUUACAAUUCAUAAAAGUUAACAGCAACUCUGGUUAAUUAAUAAAGUUCCAGACCCAAAACUGAGAAAAGUGUCGGGCUUUUUAAAAUUUUAGACCGGGCUAAAGAUCAGUAAACUUUCGUCGAGGCUGGUAAAAUUUUUUGUAUCAUAAAACUCACCCGGGCUUUAGCCCACCGGAGCCCAUACAUAGAGAAAGUUGAGAACAUUUUGUUGAUUAUUCCCUUCCCUAGAAACUGCACUCCGCCAUCAAAGUACCUUUCAAAGACUCCAGCAUCAUUUCUUGAUUAUCAAAGUCUUCGUCUUUGUCAUCUCCUGCUCUGAAAGUGUUUCUAUUGCAGACCACAUAUUAGUAGACAGACUACUAAAAUUCAUCUAAAAUGACCUCUCUGCGUGGGCUCUUUUGAACAAUCAGGGUUGGACAUGAUUCUACACGCAUCAGAGAAAAACUAUCAGCUGGCUAAANUCUUCAAAAUUUAUUGUAGUUUCAAAAAGUAGCAUUUGAGAACUCAUUCUAUUCCCCUUUUAAAUACUUGGUCUUGGUCAAUACAAACACGAUUAAGACCGGUGUCAAUAUCCCUCAUAAUUUUUCCACUCCUUUGAAUGGCAUUCUACAAUCCACAUAUCAGACUCAUAAAUAAUUAGUUGAAAUCAUUACCAUAGUCCAUAGCGAAAAGACUUUCACCAUUGAACCAUUGCAUAGAUAAUUGAAGAAAGAAACUUCAACAUAUUUGCAUAUCUUUAUCUAUCUUUUUUUCUAGUCAUCAACAGGCACAAGCUGUUGAUUUUUAUAUGUUCUUAAUUGGUAUAAGCAUUUAAGGUGAGUGUUGAUAUUUCUCACUAAUCUUCUUCUGCUCUAAGUGACAUAUUAUUACAAUCCACAAAUUAGUAGACAGACUAAUAUGGUUAGUUGAGACCAUCAAUCUGGAGAACAGACUAAUACAUGUGUAGUAAUCUGAUCAUCAUUUAUUUGAUUACAAUAGAAAUUCGGCUUUGUUUAGUUCCAUCCUCGGGCUCUUCAUUUCUAAACAUAUUUGCUGAUACUUUUUAUUGUACAAUUUAGAAUAUUCCAUAAAAUUUUAUAUUCGGUGCUAGAUGAAUUUAUGUCUUGUUUUCAUUCCAUUCAUGAACUAAUGAAAAUUUUAAAAUUGGGUCAUAUUAGGCAGUGAUGCCACCUUUCUGGACCUGCAUUUCAUGACCACAAACUCCUAUUGUGCCAAAAAAUUCCAGCUGUUUCGUGAGAUUUUUCUACGUGCUCUUUUGUUCGGACUUGUUUGCUGAAUCCCACAAUAGACAAUAUUGAUGUUAACAACUCUUGCGUCAGUUACUAGACUCGUUGUUAGUAGCCCAUUCUUUACGGCAGACGUGGAAUUUACUUGAAGAAAUGAAGGUGUAAGAACAGGGGCGGAUCCAGCCUUCGCAUCUCACCCGGGCUGAAAGCCUGAAACACUUAUAACCUUGAAGGUAUACAGUGGAGGUGAAGAGGGGAAAAAAAUAUAUAUGGUACUGACAGUGACAUGGAAAUAUGGAUAUUAUUCUUUUAACCUGCUGCAGGGACUAUCAGCUGGUAAAUUCAUGUCAAAUCAAUUUUUUUGACUUUAUAUAUAUAUAUACUCAUUUACAUAUAAAAAAAAUAUAAAAUUUAAGAAUCUCAAAUAUUGGAGGUAGCCUGAAUAACAUUUGUUUGUCACUAAUACAAUAAAAAUUAAUUUUGUAUGAUCAGCUACAUAGACUAAAUCAUUUUAUUUUAUUUAUUUUAAACUAUAACUAAUAAUUCAUGUCAAAAUCAAGAUUAUAAAAAUUAAUAAUAUGACUACAAAAAUAAAAUAUAAACGUAAGGUAAUAACAUAUGGUAAACCUGAAUAUAUUUUAGUAACAAUUGUUUUGACAUAGUUAGAUUAAGGGAUUAAAUUAUUAUAUAAAAUAAUAAAAGUAGCUAUAUAUUAAAAAAAUAAAGCUAUAUUUAUAUAAUUAGUUUAAACACGUCAAAAGGUCAAAAAGCAAGAUUAAACCGCUUAGCUUAUAUAAACACCAUGACCGACUGUUUGACCUAAACUAAACAAAUUUAUAUUUAAAAUACAAAAUUACAUGAAUAAAACCGAAAUAGGGUUACAAUUCAUAAAAGUUAACAGCAACUCUGGUUAAUUAAUAAAGUUCCAGACCCAAAACUGAGAAAAGUGUCGGGCUUUUUAAAAUUUUAGACCGGGCUAAAGAUCAGUAAACUUUCGUCGAGGCUGGUAAAAUUUUUUGUAUCAUAAAACUCACCCGGGCUUUAGCCCACCGGAGCCCAUACAUAGAGAAAGUUGAGAACAUUUUGUUGAUUAUUCCCUUCCCUAGAAACUGCACUCCGCCAUCAAAGUACCUUUCAAAGACUCCAGCAUCAUUUCUUGAUUAUCAAAGUCUUCGUCUUUGUCAUCUCCUGCUCUGAAAGUGUUUCUAUUGCAGACCACAUAUUAGUAGACAGACUACUAAAAUUCAUCUAAAAUGACCUCUCUGCGUGGGCUCUUUUGAACAAUCAGGGUUGGACAUGAUUCUACACGCAUCAGAGAAAAACUAUCAGCUGGCUAAAGACCUCUCUGCAUCAACUCUAUUAAGAAAAGAAACUAUGGCUCAUACAGUUUAAGUUGAUAUCAAAUCGUAAAUGAGAAUACUUGCAGUUUUAAAUUACUGCACGCUAUUUUUUUUAACGAAAAUAUGUGCAGUUUUAACAUAGUCUAAUUAUUUUCUUGAUGACGGCUAUGCAAAUUGUGAUAGUUGAAUUUUUUUUAUGGUCUUUGACAAGCAUCAAGGAAAUUGUGAUAGUUGAAUUACCCUGAUUGUCAAAAACUACCUCGUAAUCAGAACGGGUUUUUUUUUGAGUUUGUUAAGGAUUCUCUCCAGGCAAAAGUUUCUCUUAUGCAGUUGAAGGUGAAAAUUAAGUCGUUGAAGAGGAAAUAUAAGUCUCUCAAAGAUUAUGAUGUUGUGUUUGACAAACCCAUGGAAGAGGAAUUGUUUCGCCUUUCCGAUAAGGUUUGGAGCCAAGGGAUUGAUAAUCAGGGUAAUGCUGCUAGCAAGGACAAGGAUAUAAGUAUCGAGAUCAAAGAGGAUGGAGUGAUUGAGGACUGUAGGAAGGAUAAGGAUACGAGCAUUGGGAUAAAUGAGGAUGGAGUGAAUGAGGCCGGUAGGAAGGAAAAGGAUACGAGAAUCGGGAUAAAUGGGGAUGGAGUGAAUGAGGACGGUAGGAAGGACAACGAUAUGAGCAUCGGGAUAAAUGGGGAUAUGGUAGAAGCCUCCAGGCUAAUGUGUCGAAGGGGAGGACAUGGAUGCUAUGGAAAUUUAGUUAGGAGGAAAUAUAAAUCAUGCUAACAGGAGCAGAUGAUGAACUUGAUUGCAAUGAAGAACUGAAGUUCCACAACGAGAUGAAGUCGACGAAGGAAGGUAGGAAGGACAAGGAUACGAUCAUCAGUCUUGUAUUUAGCUUGAUCGAAAAUAACUGUUCUCUUCAAAUUCUUUCCCUNUCUCUACUCUGUAGCUUACACAUCAUUGAUUCAUAUUAUUUUCCCUUAGGAACUUGAGAGACAUUUGGCAUCUAAAGAAGCUUCUCUCCCGCAAGAACCAUCACCAGAUGAUGAUAAUGCCGUUAACCUGCUUGUGCGGAUGCCGGAUGGCGGCCGGCAAGGCCGCAGAUUCCUCAAGUCCCACAAGCUUCAGGUAUUUAUUCCGUGACAAUAUUUUUCCAGUUAUUGGUUAAAAGUUGUAUAAUUGGUUGUUACUUGAUUUGCAGCAUCUUUUUGACUUCAUCGAUGUUGGUCGGUUGGUCAGACCUGGUACUUACAGACUGGUAAUCCUUCAUGUGCUUUUUUACCUUUCACACUUAAUUCUUGUGGGGGCACACUUAUAUUUUUACAAAGUUUUAAAUGACGAAUAAAUUCCAAAUAAUUUUUAUGGGGGACAGUCCCCCUUGCUAGAUCCCCUCCUGGUGUCCAAACUUUUUUUACAUUUCAUAAUUGAUUGUCUGGACCGGCAAAGAGCAAUGAAUAUUCAUUUUAGUCACAUAGGAGUGUCGGGGUUUGUAUUGUUGUUAUGCUUGAUAGUAUAUAGAGAGCUUAUUGACUAGUUGACUCAACAUCGUUUCUUUUUCCUUUCCCCCAUCUUCUCUGGUGAUUAAUGUUUGCGUGAUCCCACUAGUCCUUCCGCAAAAAAAAAAAGAAGUUAUAUUGUAUUUUUAAAAUGAAUUGCAUUUCAAACUAUUUGUUUGAUAAGUAGGGUACUCGUGUAAUUUAAUUGUAAUAUCGAUACCUUUUUUUGUAACACCAAAGAAAAAUUAGAAUCUUUAUAGUGUCAGGACUCUUGAUACUUGGUAGAUGCUUGAGAAGAAGGCUGUAUUUGAAGAUAUGGAGAAUGUGGUAACCAUAUGACUAAGGUCAACUAACUUUUGCUUGCUAAAGUGGAACUCUGUCAAAAAUUUAUCUGUAUCUAUCUCUUUUUUGUAGUCAUCAGUAGAUUUACUCUUCCAUAUGUAUCAGGGUCAAGUUGUUGAAAUAUAUCAGUCCUUAAUAGGUGUUAGCACAAUUUAGAUGAGCAAAAUAUUUAAGGAACGUAUGUACUUCAACUUGGCAUGCAAAACGAGUUAUACAAAUGGUAGAUUAGCUAGUUGGUAAUUUAAUGAGAAUCCUUUCCAUUGGACUUGAUUCAUUGAUAGAGAAGCAAAGCACAAUGUUACUUCCUGAUACAUAAUGUAUUUAUGCCUCGUAUAGAUAUAUUAUGAUUGUUAGAAUUAAACAUGUUUUAUUUUGCACAGGCAAGGCCGUAUCCAAGACGGGCUUUUGGUGUUGGUGAGAGCUCAACAACUUUUGAUGAACUUGGCCUGUCUGGCAGACAGGAGGCCUUGUUUCUGGAGUUAAUAUAGCAGAUAUAGUUAUCGUAAAAUUGUAAUAGGAUCUCGAAGAGUUUACCCAGAUGGACCAACUUUGUUUGUUAGUUGUAAAAGUUGUUUAGAGAUGGAUAUUUUGUCAAAGUUUGUAUCUAUUGGGUAUUUGGUCUUUUAGUCAGACUGUGGCUCAUACAGUUUGAAGUUGAUAUCAAAUCUUAGAUGAGAAUGUUUGCAGUUUGAAAUUACUGAACAUUGUUUCUUGAAUUCGAUAUCGAAUUUUAAACGAGAAUAUGUCCAGUUCCACUACAAGAGAAAGCGAUUCUACCAAUGGAAUUUGCUAAGGGAAAUUAGUCCGUUGGUAGUUCCCAACGGAUUUGUAAUGAUUUGACUAGUCAAUGUUCUGCCAACCAAGUCGCAACGAAAUACCCACGUUUAUUUACCAACGAAACGUUCCGUUAAGAAAUAUAACCACAUAAUGGAAUAGUAACAAAAGGCCAAGGAAUGAGCAACAGACUAGUAACGAAAAUAUCUGUUAUUACGUUCAUUGAUAUUCCGUUGAUAAAUACUAACAAUUCCGUUAGUAAUUGAUUAUUAGUUUUAUAACAUGGACAAUUGAUAUACACUACAUGAGCAGUCUCUUAUUUGACAUUUGUGUCAUGCUAAAGCCCAAUGGGCUUUAGUCGAUUAAAUUGAUUUGGGUUGUAGAAAACGGCCAAUAAUAUAAUGGACUUUGAUAUGUAUCGUAAAUAUUAAGUAAUUUUCUUGGAUUUAUGUAUAUAACAUAAUUGUUAAUUGGCUCAUCCUUAACUAGAAAUUUUAUAUUACAUUCUUAACUAGAAAUUUUAUAUUUAAAAAAAAUUAAUCUUUUAUGUGGUAUGUGGAUUUUGUAGUCAAAUGCGGUCAAUUUACUUAGCCUUUGAUCGGAUACCUACCCAAAACAUAAAAAUAUUUUUUAUUUUCGAUGAUCCAGCUAUACGGAUAUUAUUGUAAUGUGAUAAUAUUGAUUAAAUUUUUUUUUAAAAAAGUAGCAUUUUAUUUGGUAUGUGAAUUUUGUAGUCAAAUGCAAUUAAAUUACUUAGUCUCUAAUGGAAUACUUGCCCGAAACAUAAAACUAUUUUCUUAAAACACAAUUUGGACGAUCCAACCAUACAGAUGUUAUUAUAACGUGUUAAUAUUGGUUAAAAUAAUUUUUAAGAAUAUAUGUCUUUUAUUUGGUGUGUGGAUCUUGCAGUCAAAUGCGGUCAAAUUACUUAGCCUUCAAUCGAAUACUUACCCAAAACAUGAAACUGUUUUUUUAAAAAUCAUUUCGGACGAUCCAACCGUACGGAUAUUAUUGUAAUGUGAUAAUAUUGAUUAAAUUUGUUUUUGAAAAAUUUUAGCUUUUGAUUUGGUGCGUGGAUUUUGUAGUCAAAUGCGGUCAAACUACUUGGCCUUUAAUGAAAUACUUACACGAAACAUGAAAUUAUUUUUUUUUAAAACCAUUUUGGAUGAUCCAACCGUGCGGAUGUUAUUAUAACGUGUUAUAUUGAUUAAAAUAUUAUUUAAAAAAUAGCCUUUUAUUUGGUGUGUGGAUUUUGUAGUCAAAUGCUCAAAUUACUUAGCCUUUAAUCGAAUACUUACCUUAAACAUGAAACUAUUUUUAAAAAAAUUAUUUUGGAUGAUUCAAACUGUAGGGAUGUUAUUUUAACAUCUUAAUAUUGAUUAAAAUUAUUUUAAAACAAUUUAGUUUUUUUUUAUGUGUGAAUAUUUUAGUCAAGUACGAUAAAUUAUUUAUUUAGCCUUCAAUGAAAAAUUAAAAAUCCCGCACAGCCAAAAGUUUUCCCUCGUUUUGUGAAUCUUCCCCAGCCAUUUCCCCCCAACCCCAACCCCGAAAUUCACAAAACUCUCCCCCCAAAUUAGCUCGGCCUCUCCCAAAUCUCUAUCUCUCUUUGUAUAUCUUUAGGUGUGUUUUGUAGAGGCGGCCACCUCCAAAGCUUCAAAAUAAUCAAACUUAUCACCGCCGCUGUUCGAGAAUGAAUUUCUUUUAGGAGAUUCGUCGAUUUAGUUAUCAAAUUAGUUACCAUUAGGGUUCUACUCCGAUUUUCAAUAGUAUGAUGUUGGGGUUCGAUUGGUCGAUUGUCAUGUUUUAUAAGUUAUGUGGGUUCGAUUUUGAUGUUUUUACAAUUAGGUUUAUGUAUGUUUUUAUACGGGUUUCAUGUUCAUGUUUCGAUUUGUUGAUUUCCUAUUUUUCCUAUAUGUUAAUUUGUUAUUUGUGUGGAUUUUGGAUUUUGAUGUGUGUGUGUGUAAUGCCCUGUUUUUUUUUCAUUUUUUCAGGUUCGAACACUUCGAUUAGUAGCCGGAAAAACAACUGAUGCGGCAGUAGCGGCUAGCAAGGAGAUGAAUAACAAGAAAAGGCCGAUUUCGAGGUCAUCUCGUGCAAGUCUUCAGGUAUAGUUUUAUUCCUUUAUAUUUUUAAUCGACAUAAAUCUAACAAGUAAUUAUAGUUCUAACAAGUAAUUAUAGUUCUGAAUGGGGAGCUUAUUGUGAAAUUGAAUUGAGGGACAAGUUGUGUUAUUGGUUCCAGUAGAUAAAUUUAUGUUGACACUUGAUAUAUGCAUUUUUCCACUAUGAUGCUCCCUUUGGUUUGCUUAAGGUCAAGUACCGUUACUUAAUGCAUUUACAAGUAUUCCAGAACAAGUUUGUGCGCCAUAGUGCUACCUUAAUCUAUGAAUUUGAUGCCAGGCACUUUAGGUGUUAUCUCUUAUUGAUUUUUUAUUGGAGAGUUUGGGUGUUUUCUGGAAGAAGUAUAUAGUGAGAGCAGAGGUUUUCAUUUUCGUCAUGAUUUACUCUAAUGUUUCUAAUGUUCACCUGUUAACUGCUGUAGAUUUGGGCUUUAUCUAUUUCUACAUAAUUUAUUUUUGUCUUUGUUGCUGCUUCUUGAUAAUUUUCAAUAAUUGAAACUUUUGUUACAAAUAUAUGCUUGCUAGUCAAUUGUAUGUAGAAAUCUCUAACAAAACUUUAACUUUUACCUUUGAAAUUUAGUUACGAAUUUAAAGAAUUUGACUAGAACUUCAGUCGGUGGAUUCUUGACAUUUUUAUGUAAAUCAUAUAGUAUUCAGGAGUUACCCUGUAAAAUGCCCACAAAUCUUAAAUUAAUUAGAAGUCAAGUAAUAAGCUUAAGGCCUCUGAGACUGUGUCUGCAUUCUAGAUUUCAAUACAUUCUAUAUCAUAAUGUUGUUAAACUGCUUUUUAGCAAGUGCUUGAGUUUUUGGUAUCUACAUAUAAGAUUAUCUAAGAUAUCAAUUUAUUCAUGAGAGCAGGUUGAUGACAAGUACCGAUACAUGUGUGAAAAAAAAAAAGAUAACAUGGUCCAUGGAGUUGGUUCUUUGCAAUCUCUCUUUUAUAAGCCGGAGAUUCCUUGCAGUCCAUCCUUUGCUGAUGCAGAAAAUCAGAAGUUGCACGAAGAACUAAAUGUGAUGAAGGAUAAGAUGAAAGCAAUGGAGAAUCAAAUAGCUAUGGUUGUGUUAGUACUAGCUAGUUUUCAAGCCUCGUUAGUAAUUGAUGGCUCCUUUUAGAUAUAAUACUUGAACACUAUUGUAUCGGGUAACUCUUAUCUCAUUUUGAAGAUCGUAAAGAAACGUUUAUUAUGUAAAAAGAGUACACUUUUGUUAUUUCUUUAUUUGCAUUUUUAUAGACAUAAAAAUGAACAAUUCUAGAAAAUGAAAAAUUUGCACUGUAUUUGAGCAUGCAUACCAACAGAAUAUGUUUAUAUCUACUAACGGAAAUUUAACAACCGAAAGAGUCUUUUAGUUCUUUGUUGUUAAAUUUAACAAUUUUGACUAUACUUAACAUCAGAUUUUCCGUUGGGAAUAUGUUGCUAGAAUUGCCAACCGAAUAUUCUGUUGGCGGGAUGGUGUUUCUUUUGUUAUUUUGCAAAAUAGAGGUCUGUUACGAGAUUGUUACUACUCGGUUGCUAACUUAGCAACGGACACCUAAUUCGGUUGGCGAGGUGCUUCCCAACGACGUUUACUCUAACGGUCCAGUUCAGUGGGCAUUCCGUUAGGAAUCUCUUUUACCAACGGAUUUUCUUGAUUUGCCAACAUAAUAUUUCGUUGGGAAUAAUGAAAUUUCUUGUAGUGUUCUAACUUGAAAGUUAUGCAAAUUACGUUAAUAAUAUCAUCAAUUUUGAGUCUCUUGGUCUUCGGUCUUCUAUUGCAGCAUAUCAUACACUUCUCAAGUGAUUGAAAAUGAACUCUCUCCAAAAGGCAAGGGGUCUGUCGAAGUAGACCUGGAAUUGAUUUUACUUGAAGAAACAAUAAUAGUUCACCUUUUAAAGUUUUGGUCUUUGUCUUUUGUCUCUCAAAGUCUUGAUCUUUGUCGUUUACAUCUCAUACAAUUUGCUAUCGUAUUGAACACUUCACACAAUUUCAUACUAUCGUAUUGAACACUUCACACUUCACACAAUUCCAUAAUAUUGAAGAUUUUUGGCUUGAAAUAUUCUAGAGAAUAAGAUUGUACAUAAAAUCCAACAAUUUAUUUCCUUUUCUACAAUAUUACAACUCAUAUAUUUGUUGCCAAUGACUCAUUCAAUUCGCAUCAAUUACUAUCAUCUUCACUUUAUCAAAGAGUCUUGCUCUUUGUCCUCUACAUGCUUUUAUCACGGUCCCCAUGUUAGUGUGAUUUGAAAAUACUUGUGUUACAGUCCACAUAUUGAUAAAUAGACAAAUUAUAAUAUUUAGUUCAUUAAUGAAUAGAUAAGACGUUCAUGUGUAUGUAUUUGAAAAAUAAAAUAUUAUGAAGCUAAAUGAAUAAACACUUCUGAAGAGUAAAACGCGUUUCUGGUCCAUUUUGUAGCUUGAAGAAAUGAAGCAGAAGUCAAGAUUUUCUUGAAGAAACGAAAUUUUAUAAAAGUUAAAAACAAUUCGAUAAUUAUUGUCUUUUCAAAAAACGGGGCACGCAACACUCUUUUAUAUCAUCUUUCAAUUCUUAGAGUCUUCCUUCUGCUACUCCAAAAGUGGUUCUAUUAUAGGUCACAUAUUAAUAGAUCGAUACAAAUUUAUUAAAAAGAUCCUUAUUUUCAACGAUCAAUAUCAGUUUGACUAUAAAUUUAUCUGAAAUGACCCUUGUUAAUGGACUCUAGCUUAUAGGGUCAAACUUGGCUAUACAUGCCUCGGAGAAAAUUCAUCAGUUCGUAGAAGAGACCUUUCUGCAUCAACUCUAUGAAAAAUGCAGCACUUAUCAUCUAAAUAAAAAUUAGUAAGACUAUCUUAGAUUCUCUGAAGUGUUUAUAUUGCAGCCGCUUGUAUUGAAUACACACAUAAAUAACCACACAUAAUCAGGAAGGUUCGAAAUUUUUUGGUUUAACCAUAUCACCAACAUGAAGAAAAGACUUUCAAGCGUCAUAAUAGCUAAGAGCAUCUCCAACGGCAUUGGCUAUAAUCGUUGGCUAAAUUAGACAUGUAAGACAUUAUGUAAAAUUUGCUGAACCUGUAAGACAUUUUGCUUCAAUGGUAUUGGCUAUAUUAAUUAGUUGGCUAUAAUUUAAAAAUAGUAUGUUAUUAAUAUUUUAAAUUGUUAAAAUAGAAUAUAUCAGUUCAAUAUGGUAAUAAAUGAUUUACAAUCUUCCUACAGAUUUUCUUACAAACCUGUAGAGGUUCAACAAAUUUAGUCAUCCAUAGGAGGUUGGCUAAAUUUAUAGACAACAGCUGAGCAUGGUUGGAGGUGAGUUUUUGGAGCUGUUACCUAAAUUUUUUUAUUUUAAGUAUGUUAACUCACAUUUUAGCCAAGGGUUUUAGAUGGUUGGAGAUGCUUUGAGAGUUUUUUAUAUUCAGGAUAGCCCCGGUCUAGAUUAUUAUAAAAAACUUGUUUAUAUGGAGACAUAAUAAAGGUCCCAGAAUUUUUUACUCUUCAAGAUUUCCGUUUCUAGCCAAAUUUUUUGACCAUAAAUAAUAUAUUGGUUUUACCUGAAAACAAAAUUUAAAGAAAAUUCAAACUUUUUUAUUAGAGUACUUCUUUUCUUUUAUUAUUACUUCUUUUCUUUUAUUUUGAAAUUGCAAAACAGCUCAAAGUAGUUCUAAAAGAAUCAUUCUCCCCGCUAGGAUCAGUUACAAUUAAGAUUGACAAGAUGUUUUAGCUGCGAGUUCUUCAAAUUAUUGCUCGUAAGGUCCAUGACAGCUUAGAUAGUCACCAAAGCUUUGGCCUGUGGAUUAAGUUGAUGAAAUCUAGUGCAUUAAAAUCAAUGACAGCACUAUUUUAUGGGAUUGAUGCUCGCUCUUAAUAUUAUGCGUUUUUCUAAUGUGUGUGCCCAAAGACACACAAUAAACACUAAAUUUGAUAAAAAAAAUCGUAAUAUUAGUCAUUCCGCUCAUAAAUUUCAACCAGAGAAGAAAGAGCAUCGUGACUGUCAUUGUAUCCUUAAAAUUUGUUCGAUUAGGUUUUUUACAUAGUUUGCGCGUGGUCAUCAGGGUAGGCCUUCAUUAUAUUAAGCCAAUCUAGCUAGUAAUUCCAUAUUAAACAAGUUUAAAAUUUUCAAAUUUUGAUCUUAAUAAAUUUGUAAAAAUAGUAAACUUUUUCUUAUUUAUGAUAUUCACAAAUCUCUUACUUUUUUAUUACUGUAUUCAACUAAAUAUUUUUUAUAAACACUCAUAAAUGCAUCACAUCAGUUAUGAAAUUUAAAACAAAUAGUUUAUAGCCCGUGUAAGGCACGGGAGUUUUUUAAUUAUUUAUAAAUUUCUUAAAUAUAUUUUAAAUGGUGUGAAAAAAUUUAAUUUAUAAAUAAUAAAUUAAAAUUUUCAAUAAAAUAAAAUUCGAAAUUAUAAUUUGUUUGUAAGUUAGAACUGUGGUAAAUACAUCAUCAAGCCCAUUAAUGGUUUCAAAUAAACUAUUGUAAUGAAGCCAUUCUUUUUCUCGUAUGUACCGUGGCAAAGAAUUAAAUUCUGUUUAUCAAAUUUUAAUAUAUUUUGAGUGGAAUACGUUAUUGCCAACUCUUAUUAGAUUAUAUUUAUAAAUGUAUUUUAUAUUAGAAUUAUUAUAGUGUGAUUUAAAUAGUCCGCAAGGGUUAGUUUAGCUGGUUAAAAAGAGGACAUGUAUCCUCUUGGUCACAGGUUCGACUCUCAAAGGGUGGAUUAACGCUAUUGCGUGAUCCACUCCCAAAGGGUGGAUUAACCCUCCAAAGGGUAGCUGUUGCGGGUUCCUAGAUUACAAAAAAAUAAAAAAAUAUAUAAUGUGAUUUAAAUAUUUUUCAAAAAAUUUAUAUGGUUCCAAAUUAAAAUUGAUAAACAUAAUUUGUUGUGAUUUAAAUAUUUUUCAAAAAAUUUAUAUGGUUUCAAAUUAAAAUUGAUAAACAUAAUUUGUUUUUGAAUUAAGAAAAGGAAUCAUAAACAUGCAAUAAGAAGGUAGAAUCUAUUUUGGAUUAAGAAAAAGUUUUUGUAUUUGCUAAUCACAUAAAUCCGGCUUAUUAAUUUUAAAAUAUAUUAUAAAAAAAUUGUGACGGUGAGAUUUAUAUGAUUAAAAAAUUUUUGUAUUUGCUAAUCACAUAAAUCCGGCUUAUUAAUUUUAAAAUAUAUUAUAAAAAAAUUGUGACGGUGAGAUUUAUAUGAUUCUACGAAUAAAACUGGUAGAAAAUAUUUAUUUGGGAUUAAAAAAAUCAUAUACACGUGAAAGACAUAAUUUGUUUUGGAUUCAGAAAAAAAAUUAUAAAUAUGCAAGGUGAUAUCAGUUGCCUUGUAGAACAGAAGUUGAUUUUCGAAUCUAACGGUGCUUAUUUGUUCAAUAUAAGAUGCAACGGAUGAUAAACUUUUGGACCAGAGAACCAUGCGACCAAAUUAUCUCCCUUACGCUUAUUAUAUAUAAGUAUAUAAUAUGUCCAAUUUCUUUGAGAAAGAUGGUUGUAUAAUUUUUAGUUUAAAAUUUUAAUUAUUUUUAUUUUUAAUAUAAUUUACAACUAAAAAGUUUUAUUAUAUUUUGACUGCUUUGUAAUACAAUUAAAUAUAUCUUAAAUACACUUUUUCCUAUAUAUAUACGCUAACCUCGAGAGAUGUUGAAGAUCGUCCGAAACAAAAUUUGAAAGGGAAAAUGAAAAUGAGGAAUUGCAACCUCUGUUUUUUCACCAUCAGUAUGAUGCUCAUCUUCUUGAAGUUGCAGCACCACCUGGUGGCUUCUUCAUUAAGCCCCCACUUGCAGAAACUUGCCUUGUUUCACCUUAAGCAAAGCUUCACAAUCACUCCUCCUCGCUUCCCUUGCUCCUAUUAUUCCUACGAAGAUAAUGAGGGGUAUGAAAUUCCUUCUCGGCCAAAGACAAUGAGUUGGAGCAUGAGUACUGAUCACUGCACAUGGGAUGGAGUUAGCUGCGACAACAAGACAGGGGAUGUUAUCGGACUGGAUUUAAGUUGCAGUCAGCUGGAAGGAGCCAUUCUUCCUAACAGCACUCUCUUCCAACUCUCUCAUCUCCGCUUCCUCAAUCUUUCUCAUAACAACUUUUCCCUCUCCAGUCAGUUCCCUCCGGAAUUUGGUUUCUUUGCAAAAGGUCUGACGCAUCUCAACCUCUCUAAUAGUUAUUUAUCAGGGAGAGUUCCCUCUGGAAUCUCUCAUUUGUAUAAACUAGUCUCACUUGAUCUCAGUGACAAUGAUGGGACUAAACUUGAAGAAGAAGUAUUUAAAUCAAUGUUGCAGAAUUUAACGCAUCUCGGAGUGCUUAAUCUUAAUAACGUUAAUAUCUCCUCUAUUUUUCCCGUGAAUAUCUCUACUUCUUUAAGAGUUCUUCAAUUGUUGUAUACUGGUAUACACGGAGUAGUACCCCAAGAGGUUUUCCACCUUCCCAACUUGGAAUUACUUGAUUUAUUAUAUAAUUACGACCUGAGAGCUACAUUACCCAAAGUUAAGUGGGGAAGUAAAGCUACCCUCCAACACCUUCAUCUUUCAGAAAUCAACAUAGAUGGAGGUAUACCUGACUCAAUAGACUUUUUAAAGGACUCAUUAGUCAGUUUGUAUCUGGGCGGCUGUAAUUUGUCUGGGCCUAUACCAAGAUCCAUUGGGCACCUCGUUCAACUUACUCAGUUGGGCCUCCAUGAUAAUAAUCUCAAUGGCCCAAUUUUAACUUUUUUUACCAACCUUACAGACUUAAGAUAUAUCUACCUUGAAGGUAACAAUUUUACGGGUCCGUUUCCCUCUUUUCUUGCCCACUCCAGUAAACUAGUUGUGUUGCAUAUUGAGAGUAAUAGCUUUACUGGAUCCCUACCUCGUUCGUUGUUUCACCAUCCAUCCUUAGAGUACUUGUUUCUGGAACUUAAUGCAUUCACGGGUCCACUACAUGAAUUUGAUUCUUCUCGGUCCCGGCUGCAAUAUUUUUCUUGUUCCAGCAAUUUACUCAAUGGAUCCAUUCCACAUUCAUUUUCUCAACUUGUCAAUCGCACUGACCUAGAUUUUUCUUCAAACAAUUUCACCGGGGUUUUGGAUUUGGAAAUGUUUUCAGGUCUCGAAUUUCUAGAACGUCUUGAUCUUUCUGAUAACAGUCUUUCAGUGACAAGUACAAUCAGUGGCACCCUCCCUCCUACGCUUAUAUACUUGGGCUUGUCUUCUUGCAACAUGAAAGAGUUUCCUCGCUUUUGAACAGAUGCAAACAUCUUCCUGGAUUCUAUAGACCUGUCAAACAAUAAAAUUGACGGGGAAAUUCCACACUGGAUUGGGUCGCUGGGGGUGUCCUAUCUGAAUCUUUCUCACAACAAACUAAUAGGCGGUCUUGAGCAACUGCCUUGGGGUUAUAUUAAUUAUCUUGAUCUCCAAGACAAUAAGCUGAAUGGAUCGUUGCCCACCUUGAUGUGUAAUUCCAGCUCUCUUGAGAUUCUAAAUCUCUCUCACAACAAUUUGAGUGGUGUACUCCCCAUUUGUCAUACAAAUUUGACUCAGCUUUCGGUGUUGGAUCUGCGGAGGAAUAAAAUUCAAGGAAACAUUCCAGCAACCUUGUCAAAUUUCCAUAAUCUGGAAACCAUUAAUAUGAAUGGAAACCAAUUACAAGGAAGCAUUCCUUCUUCAUUUGCUGAAUUUGAUUCUUUAGCCGUUCUUGAUCUUGGAAAUAAUCAGAUAAAUGAUACAUUCCCCCGGUGUUUGGAAGCUCUUCCAAAUCUCCAAGUUCUUGUUCUCAAAUCUAACAAGUUUUGUGGUCUUAUAAACACGAGUUCUAAGAUUGUACACCCAUUUCCUAGCUUGAGAAUCAUUGAUCUGUCGGACAAUGAGUUUUCAGGUCCACUGCCAGCAAAAUACUUCAGAAACUUCAAGGCUAUAAUGAAUAGUGAUGUAAGCAAAAUAGAUCGUAGUUAUAUGAAUCAUAGUUUCUAUUACAGUGAUUCCACGGCUCUGGUGAUUAAAGGAGUAGUCAUAGAGUUGGUAAAGAUAUUAACUAUUUUUACAACCAUGGAUGUGUCAAGGAACCAGUUUGAAGGGGAGAUUGUAGAAUCAAUUGGAAAUCUGGUGUCACUUAGAUAUCUCAAUUUAUCACAUAAUCAUCUCAGAGGCCACAUACCACGGUCGAUUGGAAAAUUGACUGUGCUGGAGUCACUAGACCUCUCAUCCAAUGAACUUGAAGGAGAAAUUCCUCCGCAACUCACUGGUUUAUAUUCACUUGCAGUUCUAAAUCUUUCUUGCAACCAACUUAGAGGCCGUAUACCAGAAGGGUCACAAUUCAAUACGUUUGAAAUCUACAGCUACGCCGGGAACUUUGAAUUGUGUGGAAAACCCUUGUCAAAAAAGUGUGAAAAUUAUGUGAGGGUACACAAAGAAGACGAAGAAGAUGAGGAUGAAUAUUACUUUUUCAGUGGUUUUACAUGGGAAGCGGUGGUGAUUGGAUAUGGGUUUGGAGUGGUGCCUGCAUUUAUCGCCGGGUACUUGAUGUUGCUGGCACGGAAACCAAAAUGGUUUGCUGGAAUCAUUGGCAGGGAAUUGGGCCUCAAGAUCAGGAGGAUGGAGAUUAGAAUGCGAUAACUACAGGUUUGGUGUAAUCUGUAUCCCAUUCCCAGGUCUUGAAAAUUCUGUAAUAAUAUAGUAAUAUCUGCUCUCAUAUAAUUCUAUAUUUGCAGAUUCAGAUGGGACAAGCAGGAUUCAGAUGCAUUGCAUUGGAUUCAGAUGGGACAAGCAGGAUACAAGUUAUGUAGUAUUGUUUUGUUCCAGCUCUUAUCUGAUCUGCAAUCAAGUUAAUGAACCACUACCUCAGUUGUUAAGCAUCUUUCAGCAUUUUAAUUUUACAACUCACAAUAAAAGAUUACAUGUGUAUUAAUCUGAUCAUCAUUGGUUUAGAUCAAUAUAGAAGUUCGGCUUUGUUUAUUUCUAUCCCGGGCUCCUCAUUUUUAGAACAUAUUUGUUGAUACUUUUUAUGGAACGGUUAAGAAUAUUCCAUAGAUUUUUAUAUUCAGUGCUAGAUGAUUUUAUGUCCUGUUUUCAUUCCAAUUUCCGUUCAUGAACUAAUUAAAAAUCUGAAAGUGGGUCAUAUCUGGCAGUGAUGCCCACCUUUCUGGACCUGAAUUUCAUGACCACACAAACUCCAAUUCUGCCCAAAAAUUGCAGCUGUUUCGUAAAAUAUUUUUACGUGCUCUUUUGUUUGGACUUGUUUGCUGGACCAUGCAUAUGUUUUGAUACAAACAUCUUCGUGUAUGUUAACACUCUUGUGUCAGUUUCUGGACUCAUUGUUAGUAGCCCAUUCUUUACGGCAGACAUUGAAUUGGAUUUACUUGAAGAAAUGAAGGUUUAAGAAAGUUGAGAACAAUUUGUUGAUAAUUUCCUUCCCUAGAAACUGCACUCCAGCAUCAAAGUACCUUUCAAAGACUCCAGACAUCAUCUCUUGAUUAUCGAAGACUUGGUCUUGCAUAUACUGAUAUACAGUGAAUAUAGAUUUCUUUCAUUUCCUUGAAAUUGCAUUUUUGGAAGUAGCUCUCCAGACUCAUUCCCGUCACUUCUUAAAGUCUUAUUCCUCCUCAAUACUACAUACACGUAAUAUCACACCACUUUGCUCAUGCUCAGAUGGGUUUUUCUUACAAACCACAUAUGUUCACUUCUCAGAGUCUUAGUCCUCGUCAAUGUAUAGAGAUAAUAUCUCACCAUUUGCUAGUGCUACAAAUGGGCUUCUCCUACAACCACACAUAAUCGGAGAAAAGUCUGUCAAGUGUCAAGUGGACUUGAAAGACCCUUGUGCAUGGAUUAUUGUAUGUCAUGAAUGCCUUCUGAUAUCCCUGAAAGUGCAAGCAAGUUAUAAAAGUAGCUGGGCAGACUCUUUCUCAUCAAUACAUUCACAUUUAAAGCGGGCGUUGAUAUGCCUCCCUAAUUUUCUAAUGCCCUAGACGGAAUUCUAUUACAAUCCACAUAUGAUGGGUAGCGAUCAUCAAUUCAAAGAAGAGACUAUCAGCAGCUUGCAGGAAAUGUCCCCUCUGCAUGGAUUAUCGAAGAAAGGAACUUAUACCUAUAAAGAUGUAGAAAACCAAUGGUAAGCAUAACUGCAUAUAAGAUACAAAACUAAAUUUAAUACAAGACUCGUUCUGAGCAUUGGAAAAUAUAAUUCAUCCUGGUCUUCGUCUUCUACUUCUCCAAAUAUGCUUUUAUUGCAGCCAAUGUAUUAGUGAAAAGAAUUAAAUUUAAAUUAAUUGUAGACCGCAAAUAUAAGAUUAGGAGAGUUUCUACAACCCACAAAUUAGUAGACAGACUAAUAUGGUUAGUUGAGACCAUCAAUCUGGAGAAACUGUUUCUACAAUGACCCAUAUGUAUGAAUUAUUGAAGAAAGAAACUUAUACCUACAAUGUAAAGGAAAUGGUCACGAGUAUAUUGCAUUUUUAAUCCAAAUUGUAUAUGAUUCUCUCUGUGCUACUGAUAGUUAAUAAUAAAUCUACAACGGAACUUGCAGUUAAUCAAGGUAUUUAAGUCUACCUUUCUACAUUGUUGAAUAGUUUGAAUUAAAUAAUUGUAAUAAAUUUUUUGCUGGAUGCUGUGUGAGUUUACCAGAGCUUAUCACGGUGAGAAGUUCACUAAAGCUCUUGGAAUUAGUAAAUAAAAACUCAGGGCAGUGAAUUAGAAGUCUGAGUACAAGGCAAUGAGCAGGAAACAACAUAGGGAGUUUACAACUAGAAGUAUCUAUUCUCCCCCAGUCUUUUUGUGAACAUCAAGAGGCCAUUCAUAUUGCUCACAAACCAGUUAAAAGUGGCAGGACUACACAUAAUGAAUCACACAGUCACUUUAUGUGAGAAAAGAAAAUUGUCAGGACUGCAAUGCAUUUCUAGCCCAUUUUGUACAGCAGCUCAAACGUUUAAAAAACUUCAUUAAUUAUUUUCUUUUAUUGAAACCACACUCAUCCAUCAAAGUAGCUCUCAAAGUCUAAUUUCCAUCACCUUCUGAUUCUCAAAGUCUUCUUCUUCGUCUUAUAUUGCACGCCACAUAUUAGUAGACAUACUACAUCAACUCUGUAGAAAGAAACAAUCUAUAGUAGUUGAUGUACAAUGUUAUUAUGUAAAUGUAUAAUAUCAAAAUUAGGAAUAGAAAUCACGCCCUAAUAAUUAACCCUCUGCAGGGGUUAUUAAAGAAAGCAGCUUAUAACUUUAGUUGCUGAACAUUUGUGUGGGCCAAAUUCAAUUUUACACAUCAUUACUAGAUUUACACAUGGUAUUAGACAUCAGUACUAGUAUAAGAUGUUAAUCAAGUUUUGGAAUUUCUUUUAUUUCAGAAAACAAGUUUUUAACUCUCUUUUUUUUUUGUGGUAUUAAUUAUUUAUAUCACGCAUUUGAGCUUUAAAAUUAGCUCUAAAUAAAAGUUGAUUUUCGCUCAAAGAAACAAUGAUGUAUAAGAAGAUUUUCAGAACUGAAUUAUUUCUUUCCAUUUUUACAGUUCCAUUCAAGAACCGAAAGCAGCUCACAAAGACUCACUACAUCAUCUUUCAAUUCUCAUAGUGUUGGUCUUUGUCUUCUGCUGCUCAAAAAUUCUAUUACAGCCCACAUAUCAGUAUCAUAUACCUAAUUAUAAAUAGUAUUUAACACUUAACACCAUUAAAGAUUUGUCUCAGAGACUUACUUCCAUCACCUUAUGGUUCUCAAACUCUUCGUCUUCUAAUGCUCCAAAAGUUCUAUUAGUGCAGGCCACAUAUUGGUAAACAGACUACAAUUCAUCCAAAAUGACCCUCUUAUUGGACACUUUGAACACCUCUGUCUGUAUAUGCAUUGGAGAAGAAUUAUCAGCUCGUUAAAAUAACCUCUUCGCAUCAACUCUAUGGAAAGAAGCAAUUCAUACCUAAAGUACAAUGUUUGGAUAAAAUUAGGGAUAGCAACCGCACGCUAAUUUUUUAGUUGAAGCAGGCUACCUUAGUGUAAUUAACUGAACAUCCCCGUAAUUUCUUGACAGGCCACAAUUAAGGAAGUUUACAGAAUUACAUUCCAGAAGUAGCUCCCUGAGACAGAUUCGCAUCAUCUUUCAAUCUUCAAAGUUCUUUAUACUUAUAUUAUAUUUCAUGUUUUAUUGUAAUGAACAUAGCAGUUUCCUGUUCAGUAAUAUUCCAGGCUCAGGUUCUUCAUUCCAAGUCUCUGUUACAUGUUUGCUACUAAAACGUAUUAAACAGUUAUUAGUUUAUGACUGUAUUCCAUCUUGAAAGGAGAUCUCAAAGACUCAUUCCCAUAAUCUUCAGAAUCUCAAGUCUUGAUGAACUUGGCCUUCAUCAUAUUUGUACUCUUGUAAUUCCAUAUUAAUCAAGUUUAAAUAUUAAAAUUUUUAAUUUUAGUAAAUUUGUAAAAAUAGUAAAAUUUGUCUUAUUUAUAAUAUUUAUAAAUCUCUUACUUUCCUGUUACUGUAUUCAACUUAAUAAUUUUUACAAACACUGUGCAUCACAUAAGUUAUGUAAAUUUAGAACAAAUUAUGUCCAAUUUAUUUAAGAGAGAUUGUUAUAUUGUUUUUACUUUAAAAUUAAUGGUAUCUUUUAUUUUUAAUAUAAUUUACAGCUAAAAAUAUUUGAUAUAUUUUCACACUGCUUCUUAUUUUUGUAAUAUGACUAAACAUAUCUUAAAUACACUUUUUUCCUAUAUAUAUGCUAGCCUCUCGAGAUGUUGAAUAGAUCAUCCCAAACAAAAAAAUUUAAGGGAAAUAGAAAAUGAGGAAUUCCAUCCUCUGUUUUUCCACCAUCAGUUUGUUGCUCAUCUUCCUGCAGUUGCAGCACAACCUAGUGGCUUCUUCAUUAAGUCCCCACUUGCAGAAACUUGCCUUGUUCCACUUUAACCAAACCUUAACAAUCAGUACUACUAGCUGGGAUUGCGAGUACUAUUCCUACGAUGGAUAUUACGAAAUUCCUUCACGGGCAAAGACAAAGAAUUGGAGCAUGAGUUCCGAUCACUGCACAUGGGAGGGAGUUAGCUGCGACGACAAGACAGGGGACGUUAUCGGACUGGAUUUAAGUUGCAGUCAGCUGGAAGGAGCCAUUCUUUCUAACAGCACCCUCUUCCAGCUCUCUCAACUCCGCUUCCUCAAUCUUUCUCACAACGGCUUUUACAAUCAGUUCCCUCAGGAAUUUGGUUUCUUUGCAAAAGGUUUGACGCAUCUCAAUCUCUCUCGUACUGGAUUAUCAGGGAGAGUUCCCUCUGGAAUCUCUCAUUUGUAUAAACUGGUCUCACUUGAUCUCGGUCGCAACUAUAGGGCUUGGGCUAAACUUGAAGAAGAAGUGUUUAAAUCACUGUUGCAGAAUUUAACUCAUCUUGAAGUGCUUAAUCUUGAAGGGGUUAGCAUCUCCUCUGUUUUGCCCCUGAAUAUCUCUACUUCUUUAAGAUUUCUUGCUCUUGCGGGAACUGAAAUACACGGAGUAGUACCUCAAGAGGUUUUCCACCUUCCCAACUUGGAAUUUCUUCGUUUAUCAUAUAAUGACCACCUGAGAGUAACAUUACCCAAAGUUAAGUGGGGAAGUAGUGCUACUCUCCAACACCUUCAACUUUCAGGCGUCAACAUAGAUGGAGGUAUGCCUGACUCAAUAGGCUUUUUGGAGUCAUUAGUCAGUUUACAUCUGAUCCAGUGUAAUUUGUCUGGGCCGAUACCAAAAUUCAUUGGGCAACUCGUUCAACUUACUCACUUGGGCCUGGCUGCUAAUAAUCUCAGUGGCCCAAUUCUAACUUUUUUAACACGCCUUGCAGACUUCAGAUCUAUCUUCCCUUGAGCAUAACAAUUUUACUGGUCCGUUUCCCUCUUUUCUUGCCCACUCCAGUAAACUAGUUGAGUUGUAUCUUCAUAAUAAUAGCUUUACUGGAUCCCUACCUCGUUCGUUGUUUCACCAUCCAUCCUUAGAGAUCUUGAAUCUGGCAUAUAAUGCAUUCACGGGUCCACUACAUGAAUUUCAUUCUUCU